Molecule: long non-coding RNA, 59005 nt
Filed under: Sorghum bicolor (sorghum)
Lineage: Eukaryota; Viridiplantae; Streptophyta; Magnoliopsida; Poales; Poaceae
Description: long non-coding RNA (SBIC_LNC007590)
Source: RNAcentral
GAGCUGGCUGGUGGUGGCCGAGCGACGGCUCCUGUGUACAGCAGCCUCUCGAACCGCACCUUUAAUUUUAUGAGUGGCUGGAGAUAUGAGCAUUAGGGUCUUGCACCUUUUUUUUUUCUCCCCGUUGUGUUCGCGUACGUAAUGAUGAUUGAGAUGAGCAUUACGGCGGUGUUAUUGCACGUCGACGACGAUCGAUCAUCAUAUCCAGUUUAUGUCAUGCCCAUGCAUGCAUGCUAGCUAAUCUUGUGAAGAUUGUGGGGAAUGUGGAGUGCCAGUUGAGUACUUAUAAAGCAGCUAGCUAUAGGUCGUUGCUUUUCGCGCGUCGAAUGGAUCGGAAGUGAGGGUGACAGCAUAUCGCUCGGAGGAACCGGCCGGCCGGCCGGCGAUCUGGAUAGCUGAUGCAGGUGGCAAACGCAGGGUUCACCCAGCUUGAACAGACGACGACGCCGCCAGAACAGAAGAAGAUGUAGAUUGCGUUUUCAGCAAAAAAAUUUUUGUGUUGUGGCUGCAAGCAGGUAAGUAGCAGUCGUUGACGUCGUCGGCGGGCAAGGCAAGCAAUGCAACCAAACCAUGGAUCGAUCCAUCAGUCAGAACAAGAGGACGCACCGUCGUCGACGACGGCAGGACAGUGAGGGUCCUAGUCGAGGAAACCCGGUUGGCCGGCAUGCAUGUGUUGCGAGAUAAUGAGAACACAUUUGUAAUAAAAGUUUGGCCGGCAGGACGCAGUUGUUGCAAAAUCCAUAGAGUUGGAGAGGAAAUUUUUUUCACUCAAAUAUGAUGAUAUAUCAAACAUCAGAAUAUAUAUUUUUUUUCUUAUAACAUGCCCAUAAAAUUCGGAUACAGGGAGAGUUUUUCAACUGGAGGACCAAAACUGUGAAACUAACCUCGGCUGCAGUUAAUCAAUACUCACUCCAUAUCCAUGAAACUAUAUGAAGUCGCACGCACGGGGUUGCCAUUCUCCUCUGCGCGCUGACCUGUGGCGAGUGACGACCUGAUGACCUGACCUGACCUGACCUGACCAAGCACCGCAACGCACGCACGGAAGAUGUCCACUGACCACUGCCGGGGACAGACAGAAUAAUGCAAUCUUGACCUGAAUUAAUUACGUCGCCGUCAAGAUAUGAUUCCCAGCGACAAGCCGAGCGUAAAGCUAUAUACUAGCCGGCCGCCACCAUGGUGCGUGCGCAUCAAGAGAUCACGUACGGCGGGCCGCCGCCGGAUCACGUAUAUUAUUCACUCGCUGGCUGGUGCGGCCGGGGUGCCGGCGGCCGGCGCGCGCGCGCAGACGUCGCUGCUCGUCCCGGGGCACGCACGCACGGCGCCGCGCGGAGCCGCGGGACGGCGGAGACCACGCAUGCGCAUGCGCAUGCACACGCAGCUUCGUCGAGACCCUCUGGCUGGUACACGUCGGUGGCCGUGAGCUGAGCUCGAUCGUGGCCCCUGUCCGGCCGGCCUCCGCACGUCGCGGCCGGCCAACGUCUCGCUCCACGUACGAGUACGUGGCUGGAGAGAUGAGCAAUAUAUUAUAUAAUUAGGGUCUUCCCAGACAGAACAUGGCUGGAGAAGAUGAGCUUUUUACUUCUGUGGAGGAGAGAGAACUCCGUCCUCCAUCUCGGCCGUCACCUCGCCGCAAGUUGACGCCGCCGGGAGACACAGGCAGCAAGCAAGUCAACGGCGGCGCAUGCAUGCACGGUCGUUCUGCCUGCUCUGCUUCCUUCACAUCACUGCCGAUCGAUCGGUCGGUCGGUCCGCUUCCGCAUGCCCAUUGACGGCCCAGAUACGGAACAGCGUAGGGCUCUUGGGCGGGGCUGUAUCCACGCUGUAGCUUUAGGUACGGUAGGCCUCUCACAGCCUGAGUGAUCCUUGCAACUGUGUAUGACGUGUACCUCAAAGUGGUCACGUGUUUUUUUUUUCUUGUUCUCCUAGUCGCGAGUGAGUUGUAAAGAAAACUAGGAGCAUUCUCCGCGCGUUGCUGCGGGUAUGAAGGGAGAAUAUAAAUAUAGCCUCACAGUAGUAUAUUGAGUCAUCUAUAUAUAAUUUUAGUAGUCAGCUUCAGAAGAGAAAAAGAAGAGAUCACGUGAGAGAAUAAUUGCUAGCAGUAUGCAUGUAUGGUCAUGUGUAGGUAGUUGCACCCAUUAUUGAAAUCAUUUGUGAAUGGACACUUAAUUGCAUGUAGAAGCAGGAGAAGUGGAUGAUGAUGUGGUGUAAGGAGGUGUAAGAGAAUUAGUUUAGUGGGGUUUGUCUUUAUAGGAUAUAUAGAUACUUAUGUUCUGAUAAAGUAUUUGUUUCGUAGAAAAAAAAAAGGCUAUAUGAUCAGCUUCUCAAGUGGAGUUAAAACUGUUUUGGUGAAACGUUUUACUCCUAAUAGUUCAUGAAAAAAUUAAUAUCUUUUUCCUUUGCGAAAUGAAUAUCUAUUAGACCAACAAAGACCAUUGGUCCCGUUUUAUAUAAAUCAAAAGGGGGAACCAUUAAGUUCAGAGUGCCCAAGGCACAAUCCUCUGAGCGAUCGACGGUUCAAACAGACCCUCUGACACGAAAUAAGGCAAACCCUCUAGGCCAACAGUUCUUGGCGAACGAGAAGACAAAAGAACAAGUAGAAUUACAUCCCAAAAGAACGCUACACAGAGCGCUAAAGUCAUGAUGACAAGAUAAAGAACGAAAGCAUUGCACAGCUAGCCUUGCCCGCUUUGCUCCAAAUGUCCUGAAAGUCUUUCUGCCGUCUUCGAAGCCCAUCUCUUAUUUGUCACCCUUCUCCUAUUUUUCUUUCUUUCUUUCUUUACCUUCUCUCCUUAUCCGCUUGCCCCUCCACAUCUGCAGCACCUCCCUUGCCUUUGCCUCAGCUCCACUCGUGCUUCUUUGCCACCACCUCGCAUGAAGGAACCUGUCAUUUGCCCUACGCUCUGCUCUGACCAUCGCCUGCAUCGCCCUUGCGCAAAGGAGGAGCAAUUUUGGAGAGGAUCCAUGUGUGCACGGACGGAGUAGCUUGGGAAGCCAUUUUUUUGCUCUCAUGGUCGAUCCUGACUCCAGCUACAUCUAGUGUUUUUUCUAGGCAGAGUGUAGAGCGGAACAUAGAAUAAUUACUAGUUGGACUAAAAAUUAGCUUAAAUUAAUUGAGAUUAGCUAGUUAGUUGGCAAACAAUUAGUUAAAGAUUCGGUUAAAAAAAUUAGUCCAUCUAUUAACCAUUUCUAUUUAGAUAUACUAGAGCUAAUUUUAACUAAAUUUUAGCCAGCUGCUCUGAAAGGAGGGCGGUCCAAGCCCGGCAUAGAAUAUCCAAGGAGCUGUAUAUUUUUGGGAAUCGGAGAAUAUGAUCGCUAAGCUAGCUAUUGCUGUCAAGUGUCCGGAAAGAUGCAUGGCAUCGACAACGAAACUUGCCUAAGCAAAAAAGGGCCGGGGAUCUGGAUCAGAACGAGAGGACGGUAGGAGAGUGAGGGUCGCAUUGCCGCGGAUUCGAGGAAACCGGUUGGCAUGCAUGCAUGUGUAAUGUGUUGCAAGAUUUUCUAGAUUCGGCAUGUCAUUGUCUAACCAUAACUGUAUAUAGACGGAGUGUGAUCUUGUAUUGGGCUGGAAUUAUUGGUCAAGUCGUCUGUGUGGUGCCCCUGCUUUUGAUUCAUAACAGAGGUCCAACGCAACUCGCGGCUUUUCCUUCUUCUUAGAGAUGCAAAGCAGGCAAGUUGCUUAUGAACUUGUAAAUAGGCUUGGAUUUUACGGGUUAUUCAAAAAAAAAUUAAAACUAUUCACAGGUUCACGAGUAAUUUGUCUUUGCAUCGUCCUUGCUUUUUCACCUUUACCUCUGAACGUAGCAUUGAUUUGUCAUCAAACCUUCUACCUCAUUGCCGCCCUCCUAGUUGUCUUUGCGUUGUACUGCUCAAGGUUAUGAGAUUCACACCAAAUGGGCCAAAUUCCAUUGAAAUUCAUCCAACUUGGCAAGGUCCGGACAAAAUAAAACUGGUAGAAGCAAGUUUGGCCAGAUUUGAAUUUUGUGGCCCCCAAGAUCCAUAAAAACCCAAAAGAUACAUCCCCUCAGUAUUAAAGCAUGAACCUCGCUCCAAAAAGCCUAGAUUUUUUUCAUUUUCCCCUCCUCUCCCUUGGCGGCCGGCAAAUAGUGAGCCACUUUAGAUGUAGUGGCGCGGCAAUGACUAACCUCACCUUUGGCCUCCUCUUUUUCCUCCACCUUUGUGUUUAAUCUCCUACUCAUGGAGGUUUCACGAGAUCAAAUGGUGAAGCUUCAUUCAGAUUUGUUGUUCUUAUUUCUUCAGUUCUCUUCCCUCUCAUACAUAUAUUCUCUGUUUGUCCCUCGUGACGCGUGUGCUUUAGCACUGAACAAUAUGGUUAGAUGUGGCGAUGAUGCGAUUAAAUUACAGCAAUGCUAUUUGUGUAAUAACCAGGGGGCAAACUAUGAACUUGAGUCAAAUUUUGGUAAAACAAAGCUAAACCAUGGUCUGAAUUUUGUCUGUUUGAUAGGCUCCGAAGUUUUUAUUUUUCAAUAUUCCUAUAGAACCCUGAUCCCGCUGACCACACCUGACGUAGCUGAGUAGCUGACCCUUAGUGUACAUGGUGGCGCAAAAGAUUUUCCACACGCCGAGAGCAAGAAAAAGAUAUUGACCUGAAGCAAAGCAAGCACCGAAGCAUGCAGGUACGUCGUCGUCAAGAUUCCACCGGAAAAUCGGAUCAGAGGCGGCACCGGCGCCGCCCGUGCAUGCAUGUCAUCAUGUCAACAUCACAUGCGCGGCAAUCCGGCGACAACAGCAAUCACAAUCCCGAUCCAAAUCCGGACGAAGCGCCACCCGCGCGUAGACGCAGCUAGUGCCCUGCCAUCUGCACCUCACUCAGGGAUGAGGUAAUAUACUUAUUUGCGUAUAUGAAUAUUGAUAUUAUUUAAUAUAUUUUAAGUUAAAUUUUAAAAAGUUGACUCCUCGAGAAAUGAGAUGUGCAUUUAUUCGCGAACGGAGAGAGUAUGUUUCAUACUUAAUACAAUGGUUACAGGUACAAGUGUGCUUAGUGGGAGUCACAUUUAGAUAUAUAAUAAUAAUAUCUUUAUGAUUUUAUUACUCUUUUUGAGUCAUUUUGACUUAUUAGAUACUUAACAAAAGUUAUGGAUCUAAAUAUAGUGUAUGUCUAAGUGCAUAAUAAAGACUAUAUACCUUAAAAAGUCAUAGCGACUUAUAAUUUAGAACAGACAUGAAUAUUUCUCGCUCUACAGAAUUCCUACACAUGUGUGAUAUCAUUUAGUUUUCUAUUACAAGAAAACAACCACUCACGCUUGAGGCUCCUACUAAGUGGAUUCUGUUUUUUUUUUUGUUCUUUUAGAGGAAGUUAUUCUGUUCGUGCGAAACUGAUUUAAGAUCGCUUGGGCCAAUGUAGCAAUUCAUGUCCCAAAAUCCAACAACUAAGUGAGGCCUAAUAAACUUGUGGUCUUAAUUGAUGGUUGCUUGCACACGAAGCUGGUUUGCAUAUGAUACGUUGCCCUAAUAAAAGGCCUGUAUAUGGCUCCCGGGCCUCUGAUUUUCCCACAAGAGAGGCGUUUUCCAACCUUUCCCCAUGAUGAUAUAACCUGGGCCCAUGCCUUUGUUGGGCUUGCAGGACGAAACUUCCAAACGCCGGCCCAAGGCCCAAGCAAGCCCGGCCCGCCAUUUUCCAUCCACUCGCCGUUCUCCGACACACCACACAACACUGGCCGGCCGCGCGGCGGAUCGCCGCCCCUCGCAUCCUCGUCGCGCCGCCGCCGCACCGCACGUGUUCGACGGAAUGCCCCCCGCCGGGACCCGGCAGAGGUACUAGCCAUUCCCCUUCCCCUCGCUCGCUACAUUGCAGGUGCCGUUCAGUGCGCUCUCGCGUCCAGUUGUUGCUGCCGCGAUUUCUGCAUCCCUUGAAAAGUUGAAAUCCCUGUGGUUUCGAGGAAACGUGAGCGUUUUCGAAUUUCGACGGAGGGUUGUGACUUAUUGUUGAGCUCGCGUCGUCGUUGUCUGUGUGGACCUGUGUCGCGCUGUCCCAUGCGCGCCACGGGAACGCCUUGCGAUGAGCUCCUCCUGCUGCCUGGCUGCUCUGUAUUGGCUCUCGUGCACCAGUUGGGUUGUGAGAUGGAUGUGCUGUGGCUUGUGGCUGUUUCCAGUUGGUGAACAGGUUUUGUGCAAGUUGUCAAGUAGAUGUUUCUAGUAUGGGCCCGAUUCAUUGAUGGAUUGAUUAAUAACACAAGCUGAGGAAAACUCAUUUUGAAGCAACAAGCUUGCUCACAAGAUUAACUGCAGAUGUGAUUCGCCUGAUGUAGAUGAUUGUCUAACUGAAUAGCCACUGUAACACCACAUUUCAAAUUUCCUCUAAGUUCUGAUAUAAAUACAGGAACCUCAUGACCUGCAGAGAUUCCAUCCACGCAUUCCUUCCAGAAGAUGGCAGCCCAGGUUACUGGACACCUAGUCACCGUCGUCGUGGUCGUCAGAACUCAAUAGUUUUUCUACGUUUUAAGGAUGGAUGAUGGUCAUGUGGGGACUUCUGCUGAUUGAGAAGGACUGAACGAGAAGGAGCAAUCGCCUUCCCGUGGUACUGCCUGUCAUCAUGUGCCAAAUUAUUGUCACGUGAGUAGUGACACUGCUGCUCCAAAGAUCUAUGUCAGGGCUUACAAUGACAGGUUCCUCAUCCAGGUCAAUAAUGUCGUGCUACCGGCCCCAUCUGGUGUAAUAUCAGCACUAUCAUCUUGAACUGUGCGUAGCAGAUGGAAGCGCAGGUGUGGGGGCUGGGCCUUGCUCAUCUGAAGUUCUGAACGGAUCUCUAUCUUGUAUGUCAGUUCUGUUAUUACCGUAACACUGUAUGUUCUUAGCUAUGCUAAUUUUGCUGUUGUAGAAGUUCGUGUGGGAGUUGGAUCUCUUUUCCGCUUUGUUUUCAUUCGAUUGAGCACUGUACUCGCUGGAUACUGUUACUGUACUGCAGUACACGACGAGCUCCUGAAAUUUUGUUAGGUUCUCCUUUGCUCAGGUACUCUUCCUUUUAUGCCCUUCACAAUUUUUACUCUUCAGUAGUUAGCUAGAUUCUGUGUUGCAGUUUGUUAUAUUGCGUGAACUUCAUUUUUAUUGGAAUAGUAUUAUUGUUGAACAUACCCAUCUAGGUUUUAUAUCCAUAUUGCUUUUAGCUUGAGUGAGGCUCUUAGAUUUUGACAAUUUUUUUAUUGUAACUUUAGUUUGCAGCAAUAAUUGUUUACUGUCGGUCUUAGCACCGGCAUGGCAAUGAAAUGGAAUAUUCUAGAAAUAAUCACGAUGACGAACACUUUUGCGCCACUUUUAAUAAUUAUCUAAUGGCACACAGUUGUUUCGACUUUGCAAGCACAUGUUAUUUUUCAUUUUUUUGAAAAUGAACUGCGCUAUUCAAUACUAUGCCACAGGCGGUUUCUCUGUCACUGGCGCGUUGUUAGCAGCAGUGUAGUGUUCUUGUGAGGUUAAAGUGUGUGUGUUUGUGUGGGUAUUUUGUGUGUGUUGUAUGGGUUCUUGUCCCCUUUUUUUAUCUUCUUAAUAUAAUGAUGCGCAGCUCUCCUGCGUUUUCGAGAAAAAAUACUAUGCCUUUCCCUGUUUUUUAAAAGAUUUCUGUACUUUCAUUGCUCAUAAAUAAAUAUUAAUGUGAUUUUGCUACUAGCAUGUUGUUUCUGUUAUGAUUACUGAUUAGCCUCCUUUGAGGAUCUUGAGGUAUUCAUUAUCAUCGACUCCAAUAUUUGUUCCCACACACUCUAGUACAGAAAGAUUUGUAUGAUGUGAGGAAACACAAAUCAAAUCUUUUUUUUUUCAUUUGUUGGCAUUUAACAACUUACUAAUAGCUAUGGGUGAUUUCUGCACCAUAACGCGUUGGAUCAUGCCAUUUACUUACAGAGACCAUUGGUUUACUAUCUGUCCAUGCGACAUCUGGUUCUCAAAGCAGGCACAAGAACCACUAGCAACGAUUUUAAAAGUGACAAACAUUGCAUAUAAAAGGCCAGUUAUCAGGCUCACCACUAGCCUUUUCUUGAAGACCAUGCUUGUUCAUAACCUUGAGGAGGCAGUGGCUUCUUGGAAAGCAAGGAAAUCAAGUGGUUGAUUGCCUGAUGGAUGUAUCAUGGGCAUUUUGUUGGUCCAGUCUGAGUUGGCCCCCCUGUGUGCCAGUUCGUGGGUCGGGCCUCUACUACGCAUUUUCCCAGAGGGGGACCAUCUCUUAUAUCUGCUGCAUCCUCAUCUUGGUGGCUUUCAAUCUUGUGAUGGUUACUUCUAGUGCCCCACCAUCAUGGCGUUGUCAUAUGUAUUCUUUCUUUGGUAGCCCCAAGUUUUGCAUCCAUGCAGCUGAGUCUGCAAUGAAACUGCUAGGUUGAGCAUCAAAAGGUAAAAGUUGAAAGAUUUCUGUGCAUAUUUUACAUGGAUGACGUGAUUAAACUGUACUUUGUAGUCGGGACCCUUUGAUAUUUUUCUUUUCCUCGGUAUGUGUUAAGUAGGGUGGGUCUACUUUAUCAUUAUGGCAGUCACAUGACCCAUUUGUGCUGAUGUUAAGAUAAAAAAUUUGGUGUUCAAAAGUCUUAAUCAUGUAACCCUGGGAUAAGGCUCAUCUUUUGCCACUAAGGAAAGAACCCCGGCACAUGGCUUGUGCUCUAGACUUCUUAGUAAGCAGACAGGAAAUCUUGUUAUUGAUACGGUAGUUAACCUACUUGUUUAAUCAUCAUUACCGCAGUUGCCACAAAACCCAUUCAGAUGAAUCUGAAACCUGCGCAGUCAUCAUUCCAUUAAUCAAUCUAAUGCUCUGGCACCAUGUUUAACAGUUCUGCCUCUGUUCUGUAUCUAUAGCAAAUAAAUACCUAGCUUGAGAUACUUACAGUAUCCCGUGGUCUUUAGGCUAUGAACUAAGUAACUAACAAGUGCAUGCUACUGAGUUACAUGAGAUACUUAUUAGUUAAGUAUAUUAUAGACUCUACGUGCAUGUAUUUGUCUUUAUCUUUGAUGUGUUUCACAAAUUGAUGCUACAGUAAUCCUUUUGGCUUACCCUCGGUUAAGAGCCAAUGUUUAGUUAGUUGAUACUCCUCUAGGUGUCUACUUCAUUUUAUUGACUGGCUGUCUAAGUAAUAAACUGUUGUUAGCUCUGUACGAGCUAUUUUUUGCCCCUUCUUUACAUAAGCAACAAAAGUAGGAGACAGUCCUCUGUUUUUCUUUUGAUACAUGCUGUAAGGAAUCUUCAUGCUUAUUGGAGUUUUGUAGCCUUUUGUGUCGAACCUUGCCCCUUAGACCAUCAACUUAGUCAGCCUUUUCUUAGUAUCCUACUAGGGCAAUUGAUCCCACUUGCACACUUAAACUUUUGUUGCACCUUUCCUUACGCCUCGUUUAGUUUCAAAAAAAAUUUACAAAAUGGAUACUGUAGUACUUUCGUUUGUAUUUGACAAAUAUUUUUAAUUAUGGACUAACUAGGCUCAAAAGAUUCGUCUCGCAAAUUACAUACAAACUGUGCAUUUAGUUUUUUCUUUUGUCUAUAUUUAGUGCUCCAUGUAUGUGCCGCAAAAUUUGAUGUGACGGGGAAUCUGAAAAAUUUUGCAAAGUUUUUUGGAAACUAAACAAGGCCUAACCAGGGAACAAAAAGGUGGAGACCAGCUUUAAAAGAUUAGGACAUGAAAAUCCCCAGGUGUCGGCAUCACUUAUGCCCCCAUCAUUUCUAUAAAAUUGAAGGUCUGUGAUUUUUCUAUGUAAAUUAUCACUGUGUCUAUGUAUCCUUUAUGCCAUUAUUUAAGGGUAGUAAUUUCCUUUUCUUUCUUUGAUUAUGCUCCUCUCAUCACUCUUGUAGCCACCCAAAAAUUUAUAAACACAACACUUUCAUUCCAUUUAUCGUGAUAGUUCCAUUCACCUGCCAAAUUAACCAUUGACUGUUACUUUGCUGUUGGCCUAUUUAUUUUUCUACUGAGUGGGCAGACUACCUCCUAUAGAUAACCUGUUAGGUUCAAGAGAAAGCACACUUAAAUGGUUAAAUAAUUCUGAGUCUCAUGACACCAACAAUGAAAAAUUUCGACAACCUUGCAAUAAUUGCUAUUGGGUGACGAAACAAUACAUAUUUGGGCAAAACUCUGAAACAGAGUUUUUGUCAUUUAUCUCACACAAACGUCCUAUCUGACGGUGAUGGUGUGGAAGGUCAUUGCUUGCAAAAUGUUGGGCAUGUAAGGGAGACCGUCGCUAUUGACAGCAUAAAAGGAUUAGCACUCAAAAUAUUGUUAUGCAAGUGACUGAUUUUCGCCUAUAAUCUUCCAUAACUGGAUUGCCACCUUUUUUUUCGAGAAAAGGUGAAAUACAUUACUUUUGCACAAUUGUCUACUUAUCCCUUUAUGUGAAAGCAUUGCACCACUAGUUGAUUGCAGGAUAGAACAGUAGAAGUAAGGAGACGGGGGAGGGAACAAAAUCCCCAUGGGGAUAUUUCAUUGUUUCUUCAGGAGGCAGGCACAUCAACUUCACAGUUUGUACUCUAUUGGACCCACAUAGACAUAGGUACAGAUGACACAUACAUACACAUCUCUGUCUGUCUCCUUUGAUCUCCCUCACAACUUGAUGUUUCCUGAAACCUCCCACGCAUGCCUGCUUGCCAGAUCCCGUACAGUAAGUAGGGUUUCUGGAAGCCAUGGAAAAAAAAUAAAAACAGAACAGCAAAAGGCAGCAUUCUGGGGAUGGAAGGAAGAUUGCCCGGGAAACAAGGGAUCUCUCCACUUCCUUCCUUUUCCUUGCACAGGUCAAUUCAAACCUGUCACUUUGUGCAAGUAGUACUAGGCUGCUGCUAGCAACUACUUUUGUUGUUUGGAUUCUGCAAGCAUAGUCUUAAAUCUGCUCAUCAUGUUGUUAUGGACUACUCCUGACAUAUUAAAGUUCCAAAACUCGUUAGCUAGAGAAACAUUUAUAUAUGAUGCGUCAAAUUCUGAUGGAUUUUCAGUGCUGACCAGUUAUUGGAAGUGUAGGGGCUUUGGUGCAUGUAGCCAUACAUUGCCGUUGGUGUCUCUGGCUCCAGCUCCGGUCCUGGACCGCAGUCAAGGUUCACGCCGAACAGCCGGAGCUGCCGUGACGACGGUGCUGAAGCUGCACUGCAACUCCUGUUGUCUCUGUCCGAUUGAGAUUCUCCUGCAAUUGUUCAGCAGAAAUCGUGUAAGAGGUAUCAGAAGACUACGUUACAGACCUUUCUUUAACUUUUGCUAUCAGUCUUUUUACCUGCAUGUUGCAUGUUGCUAUGGUCAUGGUCCACUGAGUGACGGUAGGCAUGGGAAUUUGCCGGGCUGGUUGGGUAUGAGCCUGAUGUGCUGUAGCACAUUGGGCUCCAAGGCUGCUGCUCUCCGCCGCCAGUGCUCUGCGCAGGUGCCACCACGCGCACGGCAGGCGGCGGCGGCGGCGGCGGCGGUGCCGCAGCCACCGUUGCACUCUCACCAUGACGCCUGUAGCUGAUGAAUAGGCGGUCACCCAUGCCAAAACUACGCAUCCUCUCGAAGUGCACCACGUCGCCAGCGUCAAGUUGCUUCUCCUUGACGUACCGGCUCCAGCCCUUGGUGAGCACGUAGCUCUGGCUGCUCGUCCAAUACGAGUACCGAAACCGCCAUGGCUUGCCAGCCUCGUCCUCGAAGGACAAGAUAAGGCCUUUCUCACCAGAGUCGCCACUGAGAGGGAAGUACCUUUCGGCAUGCUGCUUGGGGAUCACCAGCCUGUUGAGCUUGCCCACGUCGCUCGGCGUCAGGGGCUUCUCGAACAGGUGCUCCUUCUCGUAGUGGUGUUGGUAGUGUAGGUUUGUGUACAUGGCCACACCCCAGGGCCAGGCCUGGGGGUGCUCUUGGGAGAGAUGAUUCAUGGCCAUUCUUCUGCUGGAGGAAAGAAAGAGUUAGCGGAGCCAAGGAGUGUGUGUUAGGUUCCUGUCUGCAGCGAAAGCUUGCCGGUGGGGAGGAGUAGCAGUGAUGGUGUGUCGCGUAGAGAACCAUGCAGGUGUCUUGGUCAGGCAUUUAUAGCCUCCCAAGCAGGACUUUGGGAGCCUCUAUGCGAUGUAGUAUUAAUAUUUCCCUGGUACAUAACAUGAGGUCUCGAUGCAUUUGAUCUAGCUUGGAGGAGGGCAGGAGUUUUUAAUCUAGGCUAGACAGGAGGAAUCAAAGUGACGGGCUUCAGAGGUGCUGAGGUUAGAAUAUGUAAUCUGAGCGUAGCUGAUGAGGGGCGAUCAGGUGGUGGUACUUCAAAGUUGGUGCCUGGCCAUUGUGGCCUAACCACAGCCAUCCAGGGAGGUGGAGAGGAGUAGGCCCUACCAUUGUUUUCCAUGUGCUCUGGUGGUUGAAGCCUACGUGAGAGCACUGUCAUUAGCUCCCCAUUUUUAUCUGCACGAGUGUAGGUUUUUCAGUUCGAUCUGUCUCUAGGACGGUGAAAGAAAGUCCUGGUUGUAUUAGGUUCUGAAGCUUGUAGAGUGUGGACUGUGGAGGCAUGAGGUACCCUAGGCUAGAUUAGGUGAAAAGAUGCGUCCAUAGAUUGGCAGCAGUUUCAUACCUGUGGUCCGGGUGGAAUAGCUGGUGGGCAAUUACUUGUUAAGGGUACUGAUCUCGCAGGAUGUGACACUAGAGGCGUAUGGACCGUGUGCUCUAACUAUCACGCACUAUUUUGUACUAGUACCAGCCAUUUUCUGAUCUCAGAUUCAAUACAAUCAAGGGUUUUGUCAGGCCUGUCUCAUUGAAUAGGUGGCUGACCACCUAAUAAGGCAGCAAGACUUCCAUGCAACAAGCUGGUUCGGGUUGGAUUCUUACACAAUUGAUGGAAUGGGCUGUAAGAUAUUAUUUUCUCAUUCAAACCAUCCUUGUAGGAGAACCUGCCUCUGCCUCUGUUGAGGACGCUAGGCGGGUACCAAUUGCAAAGAGAGAAUACUCUAUUUCUCUCUGUUAUUAGCUAACCUUUUGUAAGGACCGGUGCUCUUCUCAACAUGGCAUUGGGCAUUUGGGGAGCACCUCUUGUUGUUGGAGGAUUGGGAUGCAGAACAGUUUAUGAUCUGUUUUCUUACAUUUUUAAUGACAGAUCUGUAUCAAACGCUGUAUAAUAUGUAGGACAAAAUCAGCAAUGUCGCUUUGCUUGGUACUUUGGAGACAAGUAUUCCAUCAUAUGGUUAUGAGAAGCGUAGUACAUGGUUAGAUACAUUGUAUGAUGACUAAUAUAUGCUCUUGUGAAAUUAUUCAGUUUGUCAACCUUUGGGAAACCAGAGGGGCCAUUAGGGUCCCUCCUCCUGUUAGUAGGUACGGUCAACAGACUAUAGUGACGGAACGGAUCUUCAAAGAUGAUCACUCCGUUCAUUCUGUUACUUGGCUCUUUCUAACAUUUAUAAUUAGAUUAUUAGGUUAGUUCCACAAAUUUGGAAAUCACAGAUAUUUAUUUUUAUUCUGACCCAGCUUUUUCUUUUGGAUCCAGGACCAGAGAAUUGGGGAUAUGCGAUUAUUAUCUCACGUGGCAUUAACCUUAUCCGUCCUGCUUUCUGUUCCUGGGGCUUCAAGUUCCCAAGCGCCACAAUAUUCGAACAUUGGAAUGGGAAAUAGGAUCAAGAUUGGACCUGGACAAAGAUCUGCCCUGUCCAAUUUCCAAAAGCUUUUCGAGUCAGAUGGUAUGAUUUUUGUCCCAAGCUCGUCCUUUCUCAUUGAUGCAUGUAUACAACUCACAGCCCUCACAGUUCCUUGCCUCCAUUUGAGACGUUAUUCUUAACUUUGUUGUUUUCUGUGUUCAUGAACUUUGGAAUACGCAGCAACUGAAGUUACUAAUCACUUGCUACAUGUACAGAUGCAAUGCAAAAGACUAGUAUACUCGAUGGCAUGGCAAUGGCAUAGGUAAUCUUGAUUAAACUAUAAUUAGUCUAUAUUUAGCAUCUCUUGGAGUAUGAUGAAACAAUUGAGUUCAGUUUGGUUGGUGGAAUCUGUCAUAUAAAAGCUUUCAAGGGUACUCCAUUGCAGCUCGAUGGAAAUGAUGAGCCCUUGUUCGCUAAAGUCGACUAGGCUUGUAGAGUCCCAUGUGUUACAUUUUGCAGUGGCCUCAUGAGGAUGGGAUCAUGAGAGGGAGACUUCAUGAACAUGUCCCAUUAUAAAAGUUCUCAUGACCAUUCAAACCUAACAGGAAGACUUUGUGAAAAAAAACUGAAAGAAAUUUACACAUGAAUUCGAUAGUCUUGUAUUAGUAUUAUUGGCAAUAGCAUAUAUAUUUGCACGUAUUACGUUGACCAAGACUGAAGAUACUAUAUGGUUGAAUGAGAAUUUAUUAAACAUGUGUCAGGAUGCACUACUAGAUUGUAAACUACACGGGAGCUCAUUUUGCAGCACCGGAACAGUGCAUGCAUGUCCGUGUCCUGGGCUAUGAAUUUUGACCAGAGAGUGCGUGAUAUUUAAAAGAUGACCAUGCGAGGUACCAGUAGGGAACCACGCAGCAGGGUCCUUUUGCUAACUCAAUCAUGCAGCUCACCUGCCCCUCCUUCCCAAUGCACAAGAGCUUUUGAUAAUGUAGGUUUGGUUUCUCCAUGCACAUGAAUGAUUUGGUAUCUUGUGGGAAUUGAAUACAAGAUAACUCAAGAUAAGGGGACACAUGCUAUUGCCCCUGGGUUUUGUUUAUUGUUGUGGUCUCGGGUUCCCUUUUUCGUACGGCCAUGCCUGUUUGGCCACAGAGUUCAUGCAUGCAUAUGCAUUGGGCUGAAAAACCAAACCCAUGUUACUCUCCCCCUGUUCAUUCUCCCAAAUGCGGCCCUGGAAAUGUGCAAUCAAAGCCUUGCCCAUUUGGACCUCUGAAUGAUGGCAUUCAUUUAUUAUUAGCGAGACUAAACUAAGUAAUUUACAUUUACAAGUUGCUCUUUUCGAUCUAAAUUGUAAGUCGUUUUGGUAUAUUUUUUUAUACAUAGAUGUUAUUAUGCAUCUAGAUAGUGUAUAUCUAGGUACAUACCAAAAGCUAUAUAGCAUCUAGAAAAGUCUAGAAUAACUUACAUACCAAGAUUGUGGCAUUGAAAAAAUGCUUGCAUAACCAUUCAGCAUUGAUCAUACUAUUACAAAACACGCGCUAAUUUGACAUGCACUUGCUUUUAAAACUCUGUGUCUGCUAGGAUGGAUGCAUUGCAUCAGUGUAAGCUGCACGAGCGUGAUAAAAAAAGCGUUUAUAUAUACACGCCGGUCCUGUUGUGGUUCCUGCAUGGCAUUGGCACCAAUAAUGGCGGGCAUCAUGUGGCUAUCAUGGCGAAGUGCUCGCUCACUCACAUCACAUGCCCUAGAAAACCUCUGAACCACCCCAGUGAAUUCUGCUCUGGCUCUUACAAGUUAUAUUGGGGAAAAAAAAAAGGAGAACAGAAGGUAAAGACGCCGCCGAUUUUACAUUAUUCCUUGUUGCAUACACCUGCAUCCGUCGGUGCUUUGCUUGCUUGCCUGCCUUUUGUAAGGAGGCAAGCAGCAGCAUCCAGGAGCACGCACAUCUUGCAAGAUUUUUUUGGUUUUUGGGUGCGUAGCGUAGGAGUACGUGGUGGUGGUGGCAGGGACCAUUCCUCCAACUGAUGUCAUUUCAUUUCUCACAUCUCUCCACUUGUGCUGCUGUUGUAGGCGACGCCGGCGAGGCUAAAGGCUGCAUAAAGCUUUUUCCUUUUGGUACCACGUUGAAGACGUACUACUGCAAGUGCGUGUGUGCACAUUCGACUUGCAAUGCUCUCUGAUCUCUUGGAGGUACGAGUACUAGGGUUUACCUAAAACCAAAAACUUUUCAAGAUUCCUCGUCACAUCAAAUCUUGAAGCAUAUACAUGAAGCAUUAGAUAUAGACGAAAAUAAAACUAGUAGAUGAAUCUUUUGAGCCUAGUUAAUCUAUGAUUGGAUAAUAUUUAUCAAAUAAAAACAAAAAUACUAUAGUGUCGAAAUUCGAUUUUUUUGGGAACUAAACAAGGCCUAGGCAGCUAGCGUAUCUUUGUGUGCAGUGCAGGGCAAAGCAGAGGCGUAGACGAUCCGUGCCGUGCCUGCCGCCUGCCUGCGCCGGUUCUGCUUUUUUUCUCACGCACUGAUGAACUGAAGGCUCCUCGCUGACGUGACGGUGAAGAGAAGGGCGCGCCUGCCCUUUUUUCUCGCCGCCGUGGGCAGUGCCUAGGCCUGCACCGGCGUUGCAUGCACGGCCGUGGUGCGGUGCGGUGCCGGCUCCGGGCUCCAUCGCAUUCUUUUCAGCGAGCAUUGGAGAGGCCAAGGCCUCGGUGGUGAGGCAGAGAUGGGGACAGAGCGGACAGCAGGCGGUUGUGGCGAGGCGUGAGCGCGUGCACAGUGCCCGAAUUUGUGUGUGCAUGACACUGUGGACUGUGGAGGCUCCAUGGAUGGAUGGAUGGUGGGCAGUGGUGUCAUCAGUCAUCACCCGUGGCCAUGUAUGGGCAUAGGCUGGUUGCAUGCUGAGAACAAAAGUUCCUGCUCCCAUAGGGCUUUUCAGCAAGCUAAAGGGUGGGUUGGUUGGUUGGUUGGGUGUGGGUGUGGGAGUGGGAGUAUAACACCGGUUGGAUUUUAUUCUUGGUGCCUUGUUGCCCAUAUUCAUGUGGAUUUGUUGGACCAUUUUGUUGUCCAGCUUGAAUCCCUAGCAGUGGCGGAUGUAAGAUUUCAAUCAUGGAGGUCCAGACGAAAGCGAUAUAGUUCAUCAACAUAAAUAUAACAUAAUUAGAUGACUAAAUAAUGAUAAAAUAGUUGUGAAGGUAGAGUGUUGAGGCUGUUAAAUGAGCUAAGCAGACAAUUGUAUAUAAUAAUGUAUUAUACAUGUACAUGUUGUUAAAGGAUAUAUAUGCUAAGUGUUUUUCAAAAAAUUUUGGGCCUACUGUAGAUCCGCCCCUGAUCCCUAGCUAGUUGCUUGGAUUCUUUGCUAGCCUUUGUGUUGCCUUCCGUGUUUAGUUGGUGUAGAAAAAAAUUUCGCGACACUGUAGCACUUUCGUUUGUUUGUGAUAAUUAUUGUCCAACCAUAGACUAACUAGACUCAAAAGAUUUGUCUCGUAUAUUUCGACUAAACUGUGCAAUUAGUUUUUACUUUCGUUUAUAUUUAAUAUUUCAUGCAUGUGUCUAAAGAUUUGAUGUGUUGAAAAGUUUUGGGUUUUUAGGUGGAAGUAAACAAGGCCCUAGAAAUCGUAUGUAAAUUUAGGGUCGGCUUGCUUCGAGGAAUGUCUUGUCUCACCUCGCUGCGUAUAAUAGUGUCUGUCAAACAAACCAAGCAGCCUCUUAGACUGUGCACAACAUAGCGAUGGCAACAAAAAAAUUAUACCUGACACUAGACACCGGCGCCUGAACUUUUCAAUCCCCACAGUAUAUAGGCACCGAUGCUUGCAUGCACAUGGACCCUGACCACAAUAUCAUCUCCUUCCGUCUCGAUGCUUGUCUGCACUUGAGAUAUAAUUUUUGAACCUUCCAAGCACCGGUGAACCUACAUGAUUCGGCUCAUGUGUUUUGGAAGCCACAACGUUUCUACCCGAUGCCUGACACUCUCUCUCUCUCUCUCUCUCUCUCUCUCUUCAUUGAGGCAUCGCCCAAACACCACAUUAUGGCCAGUCUUAUGUUUGGUUCUUGAGCUAGCUUACCUCGUAGUCUGUGCGAACAAGUUUUUGGCUUGGGCCUUGUUUAGUUCACCCAAAAACAAAAAACUUUUCAAGAUUUUCUGUCACAUCGAAUCUUGCGGCAGAUGCAUAGAGUAUUAAAUAUAGACAAAAACAAAAACUAAUUGUACAGUUUGCCUGUAAAUCACGAGAUGAAUUAUUUAAGCCUAGUUAGUCUAUUAUCGGGCAAUGUUUGUCAAACAAAAAUGAAAGUGUUACAGUAACGAAAUUUAAAAUUUUUUCGGAACUAAACGAGGCUUGCUCUUGUGGGAGAGCCAAAAUGGCUCCCCCCUGGCAAGGCAAGGCUUGUAGGCAACCAAGCAGCCGUAACCGUGCUCAUGAAUAAAUCAUGAUGUGGAUGUGGUCCAGUGUCCACUGUCCAGUGCAUUGCAUUGCAUUGCAGAGAACACCUUGGUGCAGAGCAGUGUGCGGGCAUGCAUGAGCAGAGGACGAGAGGUCAAGUAAGAGGACGGAGGUCUCUACCAUUUACCACCAUCAUCUCUAUGGACGACGCAUAUAUAUGGCCAACGGGCCGGUCCGGUCCGACACCGGGCCUCCUCGGGCCACCGGGCCAACCGGACCGGGCCACCACGGGUCACGGACUGGGGGCGCGGCCCAUGGACCGGUCCGCGGACCAUUUUGCCGGACUGGGCCGCCCGUUGAGUCCGUUGCCUCGGGCCGGUCCGUAGCCCGUCUAAUUGAUCACAGUUCACAUUUCAAAUUCAAAUACACAUUUCACAUAAAUCAUCACAGAAUGAAUAUUGAUGAUCAAAAGGAGAGCUGUUAUGUACAAUGCUGCCUCAUUAAAAACCUUUCUAGGUAAAACUCACCUUUGUGAGAAACCCUAGAAAGGAAAAAAGAGUACAGCCAGCUCUCAAAUAGUUUAGGUUCAAGUCUUUCUUACAAAAGCCAACUCAGUGGCUAGUUUCAGUUUCUCACUUACAACAUACAACAUAGAACAUACUUAUAAGUCAUACUACCACCAGUACACUACCAGCCUAGGCGCCUAGCCAUGUCCAAGUCAAGUCACUCCUCGAGGUCCAAGUCCAAGUCACUCCUCCACCUCCAGGAGACCAAAAGUUGCAAAAGCUCCUUAACUGAAACAGAAACACCAAAUAAGUUAGUUGAUGCUGAUGAUGAUAAUGAUGGAGCACAGGAGCAAUAUGUUACCUUAUCAAUUAUCUUCUUACGCUGCCGGUGCCGGUGCCGGUGCCGGUGCCGCUGCCGCUGCCUUCAGGAGGAGGAUCAUCAAUCCAAAGGUUCUUAAAUGCCUCUUCUAGGUCUUUGUCCAGAGCUGUAUGCUGAGCCCUUCUUGUAGCUUGAUCCCAAUCUUUGAUGCAGGUGAGCAUCUCCACAUGCUCAGGCACCAGACGACGCCGGUGGUCUUCGAGUAUUCUACCUGUCAAGCUAAAACAAGAUUCGGAGGAAACAGUAGAAACAGGGACAGCCAUGAUAUCUCGAGCCAUAAUAGAUAAAAUUGGAUAGGUUAGCUUAUGUUCACGCCACCAAUUAAGUAUGUCAAAGUUGUCAUCAAAGAAUGUAACAGGGUCACUGUCCAGAUAAGAUGUAAGCUCACAAACAGCAGAUGGAGCAGCUAAUGAGGAGUCUGGGUCAGGACCUCCAUAGAGCCUACUCCAUGACUGUUUUCCCCUACCAGCAGAACCAGAUGGAGGAAAAACAGGCCUUCUAGGCCUUGCUGUACCAUAUUUGUCCUCAUAUUUGGAAAACAAUCUGGUCAACUCAGAUCUCACAUCACCAUAGUACAAAUUGUAAUCAUUAUUAGUUGCUUUACCAAGUAGUUCUAAGGCUCUAUGGAAUCCUUUCAUCUUAGCUCUAGGAUCCAGAAUGAAUGCAUAUGAAUAAAGCAGUGGGAUUUUGUCCCAAUAUUUAAGGAAUUUCAUCUUCAUAGGCAUUGCAAUUUCUUUGAAGUGUUCAUUUCUCUCAGCUUUUUGCAAAUGCUCAGCAAUAUCAAUCAAGUGAUGCAAAACAAGUGGAGCAGUAGGAUAGUAUACACCAGAAAGAACAACAGUGGCAUCAUAAAACAGUUCUAGGAAUUUAAAUAUGUGCUCAGCAACAUACCAAUGCACAUUUGUCAGUAACAUAUGCUCAGAGUUGUAAUUAGUAUUAAUGAACACAGUAAACACUUCCUUAUAUGGUAUCAGAUGCUUAAGCAUCAAGAAAGUAGAAUUCCAUCUAACAUCCAUAUCUAGGCCAAACUUCCUAGGUGUCAUACCUUUAGCAAUACAGAAUUCUUUGAACCUUGCAAUCCUAUUUUUAGAAGAAUUUAAAAAGUUUAUUGCAGUUCUGAUAUCAUCAAGAUAAUCUUUAAAGACAUCCAAACCACAUUUAACAAUCAGAUUUAUGAUAUGGCAAGCACAGCGCUGAUGCACAAGCAAGUAUUUAACUUUGUUAGGAUCUUCUUUAGUAGGAGUUGGAUAAGAACCAAGAUAACCAAACAAAACAGGGCUAAGAUAUCAUAAGCCUUAGAAUUAGCAGAUGCAUUGUCUAGAGUCACAACAAAGACCUUAUCAACCAAACCAAACUCCUCAAGUACACAAGCAAUAGAAUUAGCAAUGUUUUCACCAGUAUGUUUACAGUCAAUCAAUCUGAAACCAAUUAUCUUUUUCUGAAUCUCCCAAUCAUUAUUAAUAUAAUGGCAAACAACAGAAAUAUAGUCCUCCUUGGCAUUACCAGACCAGAUAUCAGAUGUUAAAGAAAUAGAAGAUGCAGCAGGCAACAAAGAUUUCAUAAGCAUGUCACGAUCUUCAGUAAACAAUUUAGCCAUAUCUCUAGUCGUGGUCUGCCUAGAGACAGAUUUAAAAAGGGGGUUAUGAGCACGCUUAAUGUAAUCAGACCAAGCCUCUGUCUCACCUAUGCUUAAUGGAAGGUCUAGCCUAGCAAUCAAACGAACCAAUUCAGUACGAGCAACCAUAGGAUCAUACACCCAAUUACCUAAACCAUUAGGAUUCAAAGCAAGCUUAGACUGUACCAUAUCAGCAUGGUUCUUUUUUUCAUACAAGAAUUCCUGUGCCGCCUCAAAUGAGCAGUACCAUUAGCAGAUAUAGCAGUGUAUUUUUUAUUGCAAUGUUUGCAAACAGCACUAACACGAACUCCAUUCUCCUUUACCUCAUGGAAGUAAUCCCAAACAACGGAUUUUGCCUUACCAGAGGUAGCAUUAACAUCAUCACCAUCGUUAUCAUCGAUAGUGAUGGGUUCAGAGGCGUCACCUUGUUCCAGAUCGAGGCCGAGGGCGGCCGCAUCCUCGAGGAUGUCGUCGUCGUCCUCGAUCUCCAGGUCGUCGUCGGAGCAUCGCUCCUGGUCGUCGCCGUCGACGGGGACCGGACGUUCUACGUCCGGCCCUUGCGUUGCGAGACCAGCACCGCCCCUCAACGAGGAUGACCCACCCCGGCCCCGGACAAGGCGCUGGCGAUCUCCAGCACCGCCCCUCGACGGUCGCUUAGGCGGCCUGGCCAUGUCCACUCCCGAGGAGGAAGACGCGGCGUCAGGCACAAACCUGGGGACGGAGCCCGGUGCCGGAGAUGCAGAGGUGCAGAGCUCGUCGGCGAGGGUCAACGAUCAGAUCAAAGUGGUAGGGGAAGAAGGAAGGGGGAGGAAAGGAACACGGACUCACAUGGCCAUGGCGCUGGAAGAGGACAGAGGAAAGUAGAGAGAAAAGGGGAUUAGGGUUAGGGCGAGGUCACCAGAGAUCACCGACGCGGAAACGAGAUCGCCGACGCGGACACCAGAUCACCGGCCGCGGACACCACCGUCCACCAGGAGGGUGUGGACUGGGGAGUGGGGAGGGAGGGAAUGGGAUUAGGGUUAGGGCAGCCGGGGGCGGGGGCGCUUAUAUACGCCGCGGGCUGCUACCGGGCCAGACCUUUUCACCGGGCCGGGCCGGUACCGGACGACGGACUGAGGUAGCGGCCCAUGGCCCGACCCGCCUCCCGGGCCGGGCCGCCCGUAGCCCGGUGACACCGGACCGGGCCGUAACUCGGACCGGGCCGCCGGCAGACGGGCCAAAUGGCCAACUAUAACGAUGCAUAUGCAUGCAUGGACAGAAGGGAGGGAGUGCAAUGAUCGAUCGCACACACGCAAGAGCUCUUUCAGACAGAGAGGAGUACAGUCAGCGUGCAAUGCAAGAGCUAGCUAGGUCUAGUAGUACUGCAAGAUGCGAUGAGCAAUGCUGGCGUCAGGGAAGGGGAGGGGGGGUAACGUGCGGCAGGUGCCUUGGGCGCCUGGGAUACGCAUGCACGCACGCUCCUGGAUCUGCGCGCCAUUAUUAUCAGCUACUAGCAUCCGGACACGUACAGGUACGUACAGGAGCUGCACUGCACUGGACGUCGAUCUGCACACCGGCAUCUAGCUACAUGCAUGGUCCAUGCAUGCAUGCAUGCAUUUGUACGUAUAUAUACUAGGUCGGUCCCUUCUUCUCCCUUCCUCCUGGCCGGCUCGCCCACUCUCUCGGCACGGCUGGCUCCUGGUCCGGCCUCCGGACCCCGCGACGGGACCCCAACGUCGUACGCCUGGCCAUUGUUAUAUAUGCUGGUGGUCCGCCGGUGGAAUUAACGUGCCGACAGACACCUGGAUCAUCGCUCCCUGUCGUCUUCCAUCAUCUCCCUCCUCCUGCGACGAUGCAGCAGCCACCAGCACACGCCGUAUCCACCAGCAGCAGGCCCCGGAGCGUGUGAGUCCGGCCGGCGUCUGGCUGGCGGACGCGACUGUUGUUGGUGACCGGCUCGGCUCGACUAGCUGCUGAUGAGCCCCCUGCUCCCUGCUUUUGGUCCUGGGGCUCCUGCAUGCCGUGCACAGGGCAGGCAGAUGCAUGCCCACACAUGCAAGCUAGCGAGCUCCAUGCUCAUGCUCAUGCAUGAAUUGAUUUCCCCCCGGCCGGGCCACUUGCUUGUGGUUGUGUGGCGCCUCCAAAUCCAACGCAAUCAGCAAUCAUGCAGGUGACUGCAUGAACCACCCUGACCUGAACGAACCACCCACCCCCAAUGACCAGCCCCGCCCAUCUCAUGCGGUGGGUGGCAGCGCGGUGACAAGUGACGUCGUCGUCCUCGUCCGUCCCUCUCCGACUCUGACCAAUCUGACACCAAUGUAAGCACGCAUGCAUGUAAAAUGAACGACUUGUCCUUAAACUUGUCUCAUAGUGACUAGGGGCCUGCUUCGCCAUGCAUUGGCAAAGUGCAGCUCAGGUUGCGGUGGAGAAAUCGUCCGCCAUGCUCGCCACAAGUUUGCCACAGUCUAUAUGCACUAAACGACAUGCGAUGGGAGGAAAACGACAUGACAGAAUUCUGUGGCUGCCUAAGGUUAAAAAUAGAACCAAACAACCGCUAAGGUUGCUGUUGGCUGCCAAACUUUACUCAUGGCGAGUUGUGGCCGUGAUCCAAGCAAAACCUAGGUCCCCCAACUCUCAAAAUUGUAUUUUGAAGAUACCUGAACUUAUCUUAGGAUGUCAUCUAGAUUUAGAUAUCUAAAAAUUUUAGUUUUAGGUCCUUAAAUUUGCCAUAGAAUAUGGGCGGAUUGGUUACGAUUGAAGGAGACAUCCAGGAUGGUGACGAGGUUCAGGCUCACGGUUGGUGCCCAGUACACAAGCAUACAUGCAGGUUUGUUUGGUUUGUGUAAAAAUGGGCUGGACCGGGAUGAAGAGAGUUGUUGAUUGGUUAGGUAUAUGAAGAACUUUUUUGUAUGGCUACAAGUGGGGCCCCAACAUUUUUUCUGUAUUAUCUCAGCCUAUAUCGCAAGGGAAGCUCGAUUUCUGUGUACGCAUUGCAUGCAUCAGGACGGCCUCAAAUGCAUGGUCCCGUGCAUCAUUUUUAUUUGGCAGAAGAAACCAAACACAACGCAAAAACUACUAAAUCAUGCAGGGAUGAACUGCUCCAGCCUACCAAUCAACCCCUAUUUAUGUGAUCUAGAUCCAACCGAGCUCUAAUUAACUCACACGUUGAUCUUUAGCACUCCGUCUACACGCUCUCCCUCUCUUCUAUCUUCAUCUCCAUGUUUUUAGCUCUCCUUUUCUCUUCUAGCUCCAUAUCUAUUCUAUGCUUUUCCAAUCUAGUGAGGCAUUGCAUCAUAGGCCUUAUUUAGUUCACCCUGAAAACCAAAAAAUUUUCAAAAUUUCCCGUCACAUCGAAUCUUGUGGCACAUGCAUGAAACAUUAAAUAUAGACGAAAACAAAAACUAAUUACAUAGUUUAAGUGUAAAUCACAAGACGAAUCUUUUGAUCCUAGUUAGUCCAUGAUUGGAUAAUAUUUGUCACAAACAAACAAAAGUGCUACAGUACCGAAAACUUUUCACUUUUCCGAACUAAACAAGGCCAUAGUCGCCGACUUGCCUUUUCUAAACUAUGCCUUCCUCAUUCUCCUAGGCCACACCGUCAUCAGUAGUGAUGGCAGUAAGUCCAAAGCUGUUGUUCCUUAUGUAGCACAGGUAUGCGAAACGAUUGCUUUGCCAACUCUUGCCCCUGGUCAAGAAUGAUGUGUGGAUACUGCUGUGAUACUGCUAUGUUAUGUAGCAUCGUGAUGUAGAGUAGAUCAGGUUUAUGUGGAUAAGUUCGAGAACCUAGAACUGCAUUUUAAGAGUUUGAGAGCCUGCCCAUAUAUUUUACUCAAAUACAAUUGUCAAUACUAUUUUAUAUAGACCUAGUAAAUUUAAAAUUUAAAAAUGAUCAAAUACUCGAAAAAUAAGAUGCGCACUUUCUUUAGGGAGCGAAUAUAUAUAUUUGCGGAGAUAAAGAGGAUGCAUGGACAACUAGACAUGAUGGACGCAUGCGAUGCAAUUGGGCGCAUGAAAAGGGGCAUUCAAACUGUUGUUCCGGUAGAUCCAGCAUCCAUGAUAUGAUUGAUCCAUCCAUACAUAUCCAAGGUUGCUUAGUAGUGGAGCUAGUUAUUGUGCUGCCGCGUCAUCCACCCUCCCUCUUGCCGUGUUGCUCGUGCUGUGCCUGCUCCGAUCCCGUUCAGUCAGGUAGAGAAAAGCAGCCGCGCAAAAUGAAAGGCCCUCCAUGACUCACCCCUAGCUAGCUCAUGCGGGGUUUGUGCAGUACGGGUACAAAUAGGCUACUACUUCCUAAGCUAUACUUAGGGCUUGUUUGGCACAGAUCAACUUCACUAGUAAAGCUGUUUUUUUUUAGAAAAUAGCUUCAUGAGUGACUUUCUAAAUAAAGUUGAGCUGUUUGGAAAAAGUGUUUGGCAAAAUAGCUUCACCAACUACUUCAUGCAUAGUUGAGAGAGAGAAAUGAGUGAGAGAGCUAUAAUAAGCUACUUUUUUCAGCUUCAUCCCAACUUUUUUGUGAGAGGAGGGGAAAAACAGCUUCACCAUAAAGCUGUUUUGAAAAUAAGUGUUUGGCAAAAAAAAAACAGCUCACAACAGCUCAUGAAGCUGUUGUGAGCUGUACCAAACAGGCCCUUAGUCCAACUUCUUCAAAGUAUUUAUGCAGCCAAUAAAUACAUAAAUUAAAAGCCAACCAAACAGGUGCAACCUGAAGUAGUUUUUUUUUCAAAAACAAUUAUUUCUGUGUAAUAUAAUUUCUACAACACUUUUGACACUGCUUUUGGCUUUCGUUUUUUUUUCAAAUGGUUGUAAAUAGAGAGAUAUUUUGUAGCAUUUUCAAGGUAGAUAAAAGAUAAGGGAUAGAUUUUAUAGUUGUGUUCAGCUAGAUAUGUUAUAGCUUUUUCACAACACAUAGUUUUUUCCACAUUUCAUAGCUCGAUCACAAUAAUUUUUCCGUACCUCAUAGCUAAACCAAACAUACCCUAAAUUGUAAGCUGUUUUUUUUCAGCAAAAUUAUAAGCCUUUUUAUCAACUGCUCACAUGUGCCGUGCCGCCACUUGUGACUUUGCGUGUGAGAUCCCACGUGUCUCUAUGGCAAAAGAGAUAACAACUUUCAUCCAGAUGUGGCGUCUGCAUGCUUGCAAACAGAAACUUCCUAACUUUUUUAAGCAACGCUGUUUCUGACCAAUCUACCAAACAGGGGCCUCUAAGUCGUGUCGUCUUAGACACCCAAACAACAUGAUAUCAUGAGGGCACUCACAAUACAAGACUCUAUCACAGAGUCCAAGACAAUUAAUUACAUGUUAUUUAUGGUAUUUUGCUGAUGUGGCAGCAUAUUUAUUGAAGAAAGUGGUAGAAAAAAUAAGACUCCAAGUCUUAUUUAGACUCUAAGUCCACAUUGUUCAAGGUAAUAAAUAACUUUAGACUCUAUGAUAGAGUCUGCAUUGUGAGUGCCCUGAUACUUUGCAUUGGAAGAUGCAUGUGUUAUUUCUCUGCAAAUCUAUUAAUGGCUCUUGAUCCGAUAUGACAGUCUGAGAAAUAAACCACCUAUAUAGCAAACUAAAACGAGAUUAUAUGCAUCUGGAUGACUAGCCUGCCUAAUCUACUAGUCUACGUGACAGUAAUAAUUAAUCUAUCAAAGAACACGAGGAGCUGAUUGAGGAAAAAGAAAACAAUAAAAAGCUUCUUCAGGUUGCAAUGCCCUCGUCACUGUAGUAUUGCUUGAGCCAGCGCGCUAUGAUCCUCGUCUCCUUCACCCGCACCUUCUUCAGCCACUCUGGGUCCUCCUUGCUCGAGAAUCUCAAAUCCACGUGGUGUGCCCCUGCAUGUACACCAUAUGUUUUAAACAAGUUUAUCUUAGACAGACAAAACAGAAGUUUAUCUUAACUAGACAGACAAAAUAUAUACAUGCAUGCAUGGUGGAAUAUAUUACAGGGAAGACAAGAAGUUGUCAAUAAAAAUUGCUCACUGACCUUUGGGCUCCACCAACGCAAUGAUGCUGUCAGAGAUGCUCUUCAGUACGCUGUGAGUAGCCAAAAGUAAAAACAAAAAUGUAAACACGUCUGCUUUUUUAUGACAGUUUACUAAGCUUGACCGAGCCAUAUAUAUUUUCCUCGGCAAAUUUUCUUUGAAUCCAUUUUUAAGCUGGAAAAAAAAUUCGGCCCAUAUUACCCUCCAGUGCUCCACGGAUCCCGCAGCCCGUUGAAGAAGAUGAUAUUACUAGCAGAUUUCUUCAGAACAUUCGCAAUAUCCUGAAACAGAGAAAACCAUUUUUUUACGAAUUUUUUUUUUGACAAAAAGUAAAGAAAUCCCAACAAGCCCAAAACCAGCCCAAUCAUCAUGCAUCGAGCCCGCCAUUUCCAGCGACCAGCAAUUGAGCCCAGCCCAAUAGACGGCCCAGCCCAGUAGGAAAUAAACUAGGAAUCCCGCCGCCGCCGCCGCCGCCGCGCCGCCACUUACGUAUCCGCCGAACUCGGUCUCGAUCCAGAACGGUCGGGGCGGCAGCCCGGUGACGUUCCGGCAGUCGUCGACGACCUCGGUGAAGUUGAAGGGCGCCGGCUGCAGCACGGUGCCAUCGCGGACGCCGUACGCCAUCACCAUCACCUCCGUGCACGCCUGCCAGUUCCACCCGUCGUACAGGCCGUAGGGGUCGUCGUCCUCCUCGGCGCGGAAGCACGCCGCGCCGCCCGUGUGGUUGUAGUACACGUUCAUGGCGUCCCGGACCUGCUCGGACAGCAGCAGCAGGGCCGUGCUGCUGCUGCUGUUGUUGCCGUCGUCGUUGCCGGAGCCGGAGGUGGAGGUCGACGCCGCCGCCUGCUGGUGGCGGGCGUCGAUGGCGCGGCACAUCGCGCGGACUGGGUACGCCGGCAGCGGCGUCAGGAACCCCGACGUCGUCGGGUAGUCUGUCAUCGCCGCCUCCACCAUCGCGUUCUCCAGUAGAGACGGGAUGUCCCACACGCUGCUUCCACUGCAUAUGCAUGGAUCGAUGUGUGUAUAGAUGCGUGAUCAUCAGCAGACAGAUCGAUAUCGAUCGUAUAAUAAUUUCAUCAAUUUGAUCGGAAUUAAUCCAGUGUUGUUUUGUAUGAAAUUCGUGCAAAAUUCUUGCUUGAUUAGUUUUGAGCACACACUCACUUGCACAUGUUGAAUGUACGUCUCAGCUGUGCCUGGCCUUCCUUGGUUGCGAGCGCAUCGUCGAGCACGUCCCACGACUUCCGAAGCACGUCGUAGCAGUUCUUGCUCUCGCUCUAAUCGCACACAAUUAUUAAAUAAAACAAGAACAUGAAUCAAUGGUGCAUGCAAAUUUCGCGCGCGCGCGCGCGCGCGUGUAUAUAUAUAUAUAUAUAUAUAUAUAUAUAUAUAUAUAUAUAUAUAUAUAUAUAUAUAUAUAUAUAUAUAUAUGAGAGAGAGAGAUAGAGAGAGAGACACACACACACUUGAGUGCAUACCUUGUAGUCGUCGUUGAUGCGGUCGUAGAACGCGUAGGGAUCGACGAUGCCAUAGAAGCUAAGGAUGGGCGCGGACGACGCGACGGCGCCCAUGACAACAUGCGGAUACUUGAGGCGCAUCCACGCCGCCAGCAUGCCGCCGUAGGAUCCGCCGAAGACGACGACGGGCGCCGCCGGCACGCUGAGGUUGGCCUUGAGGCUGAGCACGAACGAGGCGUAGUCGGCGAGCGCCUGCGUGACGGUGAGGUAGCCCUUGGUGGCGGCGUCCCGGAACGCGGCCUCCCUGGUGCCGCCGAACGGCAUGGACUCGCCGUAGUAGCGGUGCUCGACGAAGACGAGCAUGGCGCGGAACCGCGGCGCGGCCUCCCACAUGAACCCGGUGUUGUUGGUGAACAGGUCGAUGUCGCCCUCGUUGCCGGCGUAGAGGAAGAUGGGCGCCGUCCGGCUCCGGCCGCCCCAGAACGUGUCGUUGAUGAGGUACCGCUGCUGGAACGUCGCGUAGCUUGAAGGCAGCGAGUUGAAGUGGUCCAGCCGCUGCGUGUACCGCCGCGUCUCGUACUGCACCGCCGGCGGCACGGAGGAGGAGGAGGAGGCGGCGUCGUCCCCUGCGCGCGGUACCUGCAGCGAUGUGGCGUAGUGGCGGCGGGUGGCCAGCGUCGGCGGUGGCCGCCGCCUGGUGACACGGCGGCGGCCCACUCCGGCGGCUGCUGCUGCUGUUGCGGCUGUUUGGAGUGACAGGAGAAGGAAGACGGCGGCGAUGAUGAUGGCUCUCUCCAUGAUAUUGCAGAUUGAUUGACUUGUGGAGAAUUGGAGUACUCAAUCUGCUAUAGGAGAGAAUACUGCCACUAUAUAUAUAUAUAUAUAUAUAUAUAUAUAUAUAUAUAUAUAUAUAUAUAUAUAUAUAUAUAUAUAUAUAUAUAGUAACUGACGUGCUUGGAAGUUGGAACUAACUAACUGCCGAUUUGACCAGGCGGGGAUCUGGCUAGUAAAGGGAUAUACAGUAGUUAACUAACUGCUGCAUCGAACCGCCUCUGUCAAGAAUGGUGGCGGCGCAUGCGAAGUGGAGAACGCAUCUCCUGCUACGUUGCAUGCCCACAUGCAAUGCAAAGCUAUACUAUAAUCACGCAGCUGGCUCUCUGUGCUCUUCCCCCCCACAUCCACAUCGAUUUCUUCCACCAAAUAAUUGGAAAUUUGGUAAUGAAUACGUUGCCCCACGCGCAUAUAUUUCUGUCAGCAUCGGCAAGGCAUCGGGACAGAACGUGCAUGGUCACCAGCGGGAGCGACGCCGAUUCCGACGCGGUGACCACGAACCAGCACGCAGCCAAGGUGCGACGGGGUGAUCAUGCCAGGCGCAUAAGUGUGCGGUUCAGCGGGCAAUAGUGGGCGUGAGCCGGAGGCAUCCACAACUGCGUCUGUGUGGCUUCACGCGGGCCAACGGCCUUGUAUAAAUUGCGAGUGAGUGACGGAAAAGAAGAUAGCAAACACAAUUUGUUAUCUAAUGAAUUCAUCUACUUCCUAACCAAGUUGCAGUUCUUGCUUCACCUACCCCUGAUUCUGCCUAUUCCCCUUCCAAUCUGUUAACAAUUUCAUCCGUGCGUGAGAAUGCUGCCCAGUACUUUCUCACGAAUGACUAUCAAUCCAGUACUUUGUGUUGGCACUGAAAAGGUAAUAUUUCGUUGCAACACAUGGGUACGAUUCUAGUAUAGUUAUUAAAUUCCAACCUACACAACUUUAUGCCACUAUGUAAAUAUGAGUUCAUACGAGUCAUAUACAUUGUUUCGAGUCAUAUUAUGCAUCGGAUGUGCAGCUUUUGGCCCGCUCAUGUUCCACGGUAGCAGACCCGCAAGUCCAACUUGAUUUCAGUCCACCAACGAGGAUCUGCCAACUUCUUUGACCUUUUUUUUUUUUUGAGACAGGGCUCUAGAUUAAUAGAGGCGGUUACGUCUCUAUAAAUGUCAGGCAGGUUUUAGGCAAGCGCCAGCCUCUUUUCGUUAUUUUAUACUCUUAUAAAACUAAACCCCAUUAGACAUUUCUCUCAACAUACAAGCUAUCCACAUCAUCAAUCCACUAAAACUUGUGAUUAUAAUCAACUAACACAUAUAAUUAUGAUAAGUCAUCUCUUCAUCUACUAACAUGCAUUUAGCUGGUUCAUAUUGAUGUGUCAAACCAUUCAAAAAAAUUAAUUUAAGAUAAUUUUAUUCAUAUAACUAUAAAUGUAAAUAGUCUAUUUUUUUAAAAAAACUAUCUAAAAUUUCCACAGCAACGCGCGAGAUAUUCUCCUAGUUUAUAAUAAAAACAAACAUAGGUUAUCUCUGUUAAAUAAUUAUUUAUAAAGGCGGUUGUAUCAAGAUAUACAAUAUGGCUCUAUUAAUUAAUAAUUAAUUAAGGUGGACUUUUUUAAAAUAGCUCCUCUAAAAAUGGCUACUAAUAGAGCCGAUGUAACACCCAAAAAUUUGCUUUUGAAGUAAUAGGAUUUAAUGAGAAUUAUUUAAGCAAUUUUUGUGGGCAUUUAAUCUAGUGAAUAAAAUAUUUUUGGUCAAAAUUAAAAUUUAUCCUAAGUUUAGGAACUUGUUUAUGCAUUCAUGCUGAAGAAUAUGUUAUUUUGUAUUGUUUGCCUCUAGCUUGAAUUUAUUUGCAUUCAAGAUUUUUAUUUGGAAAAGGUUUUUUUUGAAAACGAAAACAGAAAAGAAAAUAAAAAAAACAGAAAGAAAACCCCAGCCGAACUCUCCCCUCUUCCCUCUGGCCUGUUUCUCUUUUCUUUUCCGGCCCAACAGACCCCGCGGCCCAGUUCCCUCGCUCGGCCCGAAGCGCAGCCCAGCGGGCGCUCUCCUCCCCUUUCUCUCUUCUCUCGCUGACGAGCCGGCCCCGCAGCGUAGCGCCCCCUCUUCUUCUUCACGUAAUCGGGACGGACUCGCCCUCCCUGAUCGCGAACCGAUCCCAGGAAAGCCGUGAUCUCUUGCCCUUUUCGCGAAUCGAGCCCUAUAAAGUCCCUAGGUCAACCCCGCAAUCCCCUCUUUGCUUCUAAAUCGCGAAACCAAGCACUAGCCACCCUAGACUGCGUGCUUUUGGAUCUCGCCGUGCGCAAAACCAUCCGCCGCUGCGGCACGCCCUCCCUGCACCUUCUCGGCGCGAGCUAAGAGCCUAGGUGGGUUCGUCUCCUUCUUCUCCAUCUCCCGAUGUGAUUCUUUUGCUCCGGGAUGCACCAGAGCGCGAGAACGAAGAGCUCCGGCGAGCUUCCUGCGGCCGGCAAUGGCGCCACCGCGCCGGAGCAGGGAGCCGGCUGGCCGGACCGCCGCCCGUCACCCCUGGACGCGCCCGAUGCGUCCGUUUGAAGAUCGACGGCCAGCAAACAAAGAUACCCCUUCGAGGGGAUUUUUCUUAAAGAGACCCUGGAAUAUUGGAGAAUUAACCCGCGGUCCAAAGGCGCAUUCGCGAUUUUACGUUUCCUCUGUUUUAAAAACGUAUUCUAGCCGGCUGGGUCUAAAAUGUGUUUUCAUAUAAUUACAAGUUUGCCACUAGAAGUAUUUUGGUCAUAAUAUGCUCAUUUUAAAUCCGAUUUGAUCCAUUCAAAUUUCGUUAGAUUUAUUUUUACGAGCUCUACAUGUUAGAAGUAUUAUUUCACUGUUUUGAAACUUUUUAUUUUCGCAGUAGCAUUUAAUUAAUUAUUUCUCUAUAGGAAAUCUUAGAAAAUUCAUAUCUUCCACGUUUUAAUUCUGUUUUUCGUGAACUUUACGUUUGUGUGAUCAUAGCGCUGCGUACAAUAUUUUCAUAAACUUUUAUCUUUGUUUUACCACUGUUUGGUGUAAUGUUCUAAUUAUAGCUUGUUUGCUUUGUGUAUGAUUGUCUACAUUGGAUUGCGUGUUGUUGAUUGAUGUUUGGGAAUAUACGGUGAGCCGUACGUUGGUGAUCAAGACCAAGCCUUUGAAGGCCAGCAGGCUCAGGAGAGAUUUGAUCAAGGCAAGUAUAACUUGAGAUCAUCCUUGUUACCUAUUCACUUAUAUCUACACAUAUAUAUCAUAUGCAUGCUUUCACCUUGUCGACCUUAGCAAAAUCAUAGAUGAUUGUUACCUGGAUUCCUUGAUACCUACUUGAUAUGCAUUUGAUGUAGUUGUGCUAGUGCUUGAUAUAAUCCAUGAUCUUGUAAGAUGAUUAAUAGCUAUGCAAUGAACAUAAAAGAAUGGCAAAUAACUGUAUGAGAUCUUGUCCGUACGUGAUCACCCGGGAUAACAGUGCAACCAUGAGGGCUAUAAUGGCUCUGGCUUUAGCUCAGUAUGAAGACCUUUUCUAGCAUGUUAGAGGUUACCCGAAAGGGCGGAGGGGCUGAACCGUUUUAGGUAUAGUGCGAGCCCCUGUCCCUAUGUGUAUAGGCUGCGCGUCAUUGUGCCAUUUGGAAGGGGGUAUCUAUAACUGCGUGCAAAGGAAACCUUGCGGCCCUAACAUGUUAGACGAACUUUUGAAAGGUUUCAUAGUGAUCCCUGCCGACCUCCCUAGGAAGGGGGUUAAGAGACUAGCUACCUCGGGCGAAAGGGUAAAUCAUGACUCAUGGGUAAAGAUGUACAACCUCUACGGAGUGUAAAACUGGUAUACUAGCCGAGCUCACGGUCAGAAGCGGCCUUGGGGACAUCUACAAUAAGAUGAUGAGCUUGUUAUGUUAUUAUGUUCAUUUGAUUAUCGUUUAUGCUAUGAAUUAAUUAUGCUUACACUUGAUCAUGUGAUUAAUGGAUUAUUACUGCUACCUUGACAUUUGCUAUUAAUUUAUGAACAUGCUAUCCACCAUUAAAAGCUAAAUGCAGUCAAACCAGUGUCAGCUAAUUGAGCCUCAUAAACCCCUGGUUAUACUUGUUGAGUACGAUAUGUUCUCACUCUUGCAAUUUUCCAACACCCCAGGUUAUACAAAAGAUGAUGCUUGGAAUGAGGAUUACCGUUAUGAGUAUUAGGCUUGGAGUCAACCAGUCAACAGUGUCCCUGUGUGGAGCUUCCGUCGAGAGCGUUGUUUACUUCAUGCUAUCAUUUUUGUAUGAGAUUAUGUGAUAUACUAUAUUCCGCUAUGUAAUAAACACUGCAAUGGUACAUUUGAGAUUUGUCUACUUAUGUGUGUGACUGUUUCUGGGGCACAUAUGAGUCCUUUAUGCAUCCUAUUUUGUUCUUAAAAUAUGGGUGUGACAGCCGAGCAUCCUAAGAUUCCAUCCCUACAAAUAGAUUAAUAGAGGUCACAUUAAUAAGAGGCUCGACUACAGAAAUAGAUGUAUAAAAAUAAUUUAUAGUUUUUCCAAUGCACUUCCAACGGCUACCUGAAGUCACAUGUCCUAUGCUAUCAUUCACCUCAUGGCUAGACUGGCCUCUAGCCUCUACUCACUUCUACACAAUCAACUUCGAUGGUCAAAACAUGACACGACAAUUGUUCAGUGUUCAAAAAUCUGCAUGGUCGGACAAUCCACUCGAUUCAUUCCUACAGUGCCAUAAAACGCUAGCCUUUGUCCUUAGUCUAUUGAUUGUCUAGUGUACUCAACCUUUUCUAGCUAAACUAUCUAGUGUAUUCAUUAGCACAAUUCUCUUUCGAUGAGUCAUUGAUUGGAUACCAACACUUUUGUGUAGUGCAUUCAUUUUUCUGUUUGCCAAAGUAUUCAUUGAGUGCAUUCUUCUCUGUUUUCAUCCCUAAGUUUUUCAUAUGAACUACAAUUGGGGAAAAAUUUAUUCUGUUGCAUUCCUUGCACCAUAACCAAGCUCUCUCGACAAUAUGUUCAUCAAAAUUGCACCACCAUGCACACUUAAGGUCAAGCAUUUCCACUUAACUCUCCUGCAUGGUGAUCCUAACUCUUGAAAGGUCUUCAAUCCUCAAGUUUUCACUUGCAAUACUUGACUCCUCCAUGAUUCACAUACUUAAUCUUGAGUCCUCGAUUACAUCACUUGACUUCUUGAUCGAUCUCCUUCAAUCCUGUGUUGUUUGAUUGUCUUGUCAUCAACCAUUGGGGUUAUCUUUAUUCUUAUUUCAUGCAUUGUAGCUUGGCAUUAACACUUGAUACUCCAACCCAUACACUAGAAACACAUGUCAUGUUGUCCUUAGUUUGCUUCUCCAUCCAUGCUUGAGGAUAUUUCUUUAUUUUCAUGCUUUGCAAUCUACAUUGACAUAUUUCUCCAAAACACAUAUAUUAAGGUUGUCAUUAACCACUGUAAACACUUACCUAAGAGGACUAGAAGCUCACAGAGGGGGUGAUGUCACAAACGGAAUGCAUGAACUUGUGGAGGACAUCUUGCUAGGUAGCCAACAAAGAGAAACAAUGAGCAGGAUAACAAUGCAAAAGACAAUCUAGUUCAAGCAAAAGACAACAAUGCAAAUCAAAUCUAUGAAAUGGCUUCUAUGUUGUGGGACAUCAUAGCAUCAUGUGAAAGCAUGCAUAUUUGGCAAAUGGUAAAUGAGACAUGAGUUGAUGAUUUUGGAUUGGUCUCUGUAAUGGCUUGCUUUUCAUGAACAAGAAGAGUUUGAUAGUGAAAUAGUUUUGAUCAAGGUUGAAGAAUUAAUCAAGAAUGCAUAAGUGAAGAAAAGACAAGCAAAGGUCAAAUGGCAAAGGACACAACUCAUACUGGAUAUAAGUCAGUCUCUACAUUGGUUUGCUUGUAUAAUUAAAAAAUUGGUAAAUCACUUUGCAAUUGCUUUGAUCAAACUAGAAGUAUGAAUAUAGAUAUUUGAAUAAGUGUUAGGAGUGUCAAGCCAAAAUGAAGAGGAGAUAAGGAAUCAUGAAUUGGAUAGACUAUAUAGAUGUUGAUUCAUAUAUAUAUCUCUAAGUGAAUCAAACUAAAGCUUGAUUGAUCUCAACAUUCAUAUCUAGAAGAUAUUCAAGAAAGAAUUACAAUAUUGAAGAAAUAGUUUUUCAACAGACACUUAAUAUGAUGUGACUUGAGUAUGCUUGAUAAGGUGAAGAUAGCAAGGAAAGGGCUUCGAGGGACUAAGCGAAGGUGAAAAGCAAGCAAUGCCUUAUGGACUAAGGUACCAUGGCUAAGGUGAAGAAUAGAGUACUUGCAUUGAGUCGAGAAACUAAUCAAGCUACGAGGAGUCUUAUUGUAUUGAACAUCAAAACAUUAGUGGAAGUGACUUGAAGCAAUGAAUUGAACUCAUAUGUGUUGAAAUAGUUCAAGUCAUAUGCUCAAGGUGUGUUUGCUCGGAGAGAUGAGACAAGGUUGAUGAUUGCAAUCCCCUAUGAAGUGAUAUUGAGAAGAAUUGACAUAUGAAGACAUUAAAGACUCAAGUGGUUGAAAUAGUUAUAUUCUCUUGAUCUUGAGUAUAGGAAUGCUAUACUAUCAAGGGAGAUGCAAUACUAAUAAUAGACAAGUCUCAAGUGCUCAAACUAACCGAACCCAAGUGCUGACAUGAGAGAAAAUAUCUAGCACUACACCUGCACUUGUUGAUCUGUAGGCAUUGUCUGCUGGGUUGGAUAGCCCAUGAAACAAGGUUUUCAAGAAGUCUAAGAUCACUGAAAAUAGAGUUCAGAGUAAAAAAGUUAUGGUGUUUUCUCUAAGCUGACCUGUUCUGUUUCUCGGAGCUGCGGCAGUGCCACACUCAAGUGAGGCAGGGCCGCACCCUAGCAGUGUCGCGUGUCUAGUGCAGCAGUGUUGCUCCUUACAGACCAUAGUGACUAGUUUUAGAACUGUAAUGGCUAGUUUGUGUGGGGUGGCUAUAUAUACCCAUCCCAUGCCUAGUGAGGCUGCUAACCUCCAGACCAUUCCAAGCACAUCCCUAACCAUUUGAGAGCUCUCCCCAUCCCUCUCUUUGUGGGAGUUAGUGAUUAGUGUGUGAUUAAGAGUUUGAGAGCAGAUUAGAGCAAAUCAAACCUUGAGCACUUGUUAGGCUUCGCCGAUCUUUGUUGCGCAUUUGUUACUAUUGGAGGUGAAGCCUCUUUAUCAGCUAGGCGUCAGCUGACGAGGUCCAUUGUGGUGAGCUACGAGAAAGUUUAUAAUCACCCAUUGAUCUAGUGGAAUCACCCCUCAUCUCAAGAGUUUACUCUCUAGACUUGAGAACAAGGAAGGGUUGCAAAGCCCCAGUGCCGGUCCUAUAAUUUUAAGGCCCUCUGGCGAAUUUAUCGUGACGACCUCUCUAAACUAUAAAAUCUUAUAAUAAUAUAAGUUAAUUUUGUUCAUAAGAGGAAAGUAAAUCGAAUUAUAUAUACAUAAACUGCACUUCUUGUCUUUUCAUUUUUUCAAAGCCCCCUGACAAAUGUUUCUUAGGUAACACUCUAAAAUUCUAACAUAUAUAUGACUAUAUGAGUACAAAGUACUAGACAAAAAUUAGAUAAGAAAAAAACCUAGUUCCUAAACAUUUAGGACAUGAACUAAUUCAGAAUCAGAAUCAUGAUUCACAAAUCACAAAAAAUAAAAGGGUAGAAGGAAAGAACCAGAUCACAUGUCAUAGCCCUCAUCGAGCCCUACCAGCUAGUCAUCGCCGUUGUCGUUUGGAUUUUGGAAUAGCCCUCGUCGAGCCCUGCCAGCUGGUCAUCGCCGUUGUCGUUUGGAUUUUAGAAGACUAGAACUCAAACGCAAAGGUUUCGGUAUUAUCCACUGCAGCUGGUGAUCGCGUUGUGAACUAGUGAUCGUGUCGCUGAUGUCGUUGUGUCUCUCCUCGCGGUCUCGCCGUCUCACCAGAAGUCUAAAAGUCGUGACUCGUGAUCGCUAUGUGUGGUAGCGUGUGUACGGGCAUUGGUGGCUCAGCUCCUUGGCUCACGACUUUUUUUAGUGAUAGGCCUCCUGCAUCGUAUAUAUGUAUGUACUAAUAAAUAAUGACUAUAGCUAAAGAAUAUGUGGUCUUAUAUACUUAGGAUUGGGCCCCUAUCCCGCGAGGGCCCUCGGCCGUCGCACCUCCUGCCCUCCCCUUAGGGCCGGCACUGCAAAGCCCUAAGCCUUAAUGGCAAGCCUCAACAACAUGGACAUAGGCAAUCCUUGGUGAUGAGUUGAACCACAUGAUAAAUCUUGUGUCUUGCGACUUUGUAUUUUGAAUUGUGUGAUUUGUGUUCCACUCGAUCUACUUGAUUGUGAGUGUAGGUACUUGGUGAACUUGUCACUGGAUAUCUCUAGAACCUCUCUACCAAGUUUGGUCAGAGUUGAACUCUCUAGAGAGGUGAGGCAGUGCUACACCUAGAAUUUAACUUUCGCUAUGAGUUUGUUUGAAAUAGGCAUAUUCACCCCCUCUAAGUGACAUCAAGGUCCUUUCAUGAUUCAAAGCGGAUCGGAGUAGAGGAUUAUCCAUGCCACUUUCAUACCUACCAUCAACAUAGUGGAUGUAAUACCCAAUUUUAAGGACAAAACCAGAUAUGCACCAUAUGUGAGUUUUAAAAGACAAAUCUCACAUAUAGCUACAAAUAAGGGGUAAUAUCAAAAGACCCAAAAUCGCCGCCGCCGUGGAACUUCCCCUCUGCUGCCGUGUUGACAAAUCUAAGAGCUUGCCGAGCUUCGCGUUGAGGUCUUGAACCCCUGUGUUUUUCCAUCAUCUUUUUAUCUCUCUCUGUGAUGCUCAAUUGCUCACCGAACUUCGCAGGAGCGCCUCGAUCCGCCGUCUCGCGCUGCCCGCUUUCCCCGAGCUCCCUCUGCCCGCAAUAAGCCCCAAGGUGAGUUCGCGUUGGUCCGCUCGUGCUCCCAGUAGUUUUCCCGUUCGAAACCGAGUUCCCUAGGCCGUUUUCCCCCGUCUCUGGCAAAGCUCCGGCCAUGGAGCCGCCGUGCCGGAGGCCCUGCUCCGGCCAGCCAGCCGCCCCUCCCUCCGAUCUGAUCUGAUCCGCCCAAAGAAGAUCCAACGGUUCACGGUGGCCGAUACCCUUUCGGCCUGGAAUUUUGCUAAGAGCCCCUCAAUUUGUUAUAUAUUGAACCUGCAGUCCGUUACGUAAUCCCUAAAAUACGCUUUCUCAGCUCGGAAAGCGUAAUCCAGCCGACUGAGUUCAAAAUACGUUUCCAGUAAAUUACAAGUUUGCCACUGAUUUUCUUUUGGAUAUAAAAUAUUCGUUUUAACUCCGAUUUGACCCGUUCAAAUGUCGAUAGAUUCGUAUUUACGAGCUCUACGUGUUAGAAGUAUUAGUUUACUGUUUUGAAACUUUUUAAUUUCCUGGUAAUAUUUAAUUAAUUAUUUCUCUAUAGGAAAUCUUAGAAAAUUCAUAACUUCUCCGUUUUAGCUCCGAUUUUCGUGAUCUUUUCGUCUGUGAGAUCAUAGCGAUGCGUAGAAUCAUUUUUUAAACUUUUCAUACUGUUUUUAUAUGAAUGGUGUACUGUUCUAAUUGUAGUCUUAUUUGCUUCGUGUAUGUUUGUCUUCGAUUGUUUGUGUGAUCGAUGAUCGAGUUUAGACGGUGAGCAAUACUUCAAUGAUCAAGAUCAGAGCCUUGGCAACAAGUAGGACCAGCAGAACCAAAAGGAUCAACAAGAGCAUUUGGAUCAAGGCAAGUAUAGCAUUUGGAUUUUAUUUCUGUGACCAUGAUCUUGUGACUAGAUUAAUGUGAAGUAAUAAAUGAUAAAAAUGACUUUUUAGCCACUUGAUGAUUUAUCUGUAAGUGAUAACCGGGACAACAGUGCAACCAUGAGGGCUAUAAUGGCUCUGGCUUUAGUUAAGUAUGAGUAACUUUUCUAGCUCGUUAGCGGUUACCCGUUGUGGCGCAAUUGGGGAAUAGCAGACCGUAGAUUCCUGCGGGUGAAUCACAUGGACUGACUAAUGAAAUCAAGCGGCCCUAACUUGUUAGACGAACCUUUGAAAGACUUCAUAGUGAUCCCUACCGACCUCCCUAGGAAGGGGGUUAAGAGACUAGCUACCUCGGGCGAAAGGGUAAAUCAUGACUCAUGGGUAAAGAUGUGCAACCUCUGUAGAGGGUUAAAAACUAGUAUACUAGCCGAGCUCACGGUCAGGAGCGGCCUUGGGGAUUCUUGCUGCGACGAUGAUGAUUCCUGUGUGUUAAAUAUGCUCAUUAUUUAUUAUUUAAUGCUUUACAUUAUUUAUGUCACAUUGAUCAUGAGAUUGUGGGAGCUAUACAAUCUAGUUGCUAUACUUGUGUAGUUCGACAUGUACUCACUCUUGCUACUUCCCCCAAACCUCAGGAGAAGUUUAGGCUUGUGAUCAACCAGUCAGUUGGAUCCUGUAGAGUGGAGUUAAUACCCGAAGUUGGAGUUAUUUAUCCGCUGUUUGUUACUAAAGGUUAUCUCUUUUAUACUAAGUAUGUUAUAUAAUUUAUGCAUGUUGUCUUUUGAUAUUACCCCUUAUUUGUAGCUAUAUGUGGGAUUUGAUUUUUAAAACUCACAUAUGGUGCAUAUCUGGUUUUGUCCUUAAAAUCGGGUAUUACAAUGGAAGUGAAUACUACAACUCGUUCCUAGACUAGGCUACACAACCUUUGUAUGCUCAUCACCGCCAUUCCAGGAGACACCAUCGCUACCAGUUUUCACCCUCUUUCUCCUCCUCCUCCUCUUUGGCGUGGCAAUUGCCCCCUGCAUGGAGGUGGCCUCUAAGAUAGAGUGAGCCGAGGAGAGAGUAAGCCGAGAGAGAGAGAGGGAGGAGAGAGACUAGAGAAAAGUAAAUGAGGGAGGAGAAAGAGUGGCCGGUGGGGCAUGGAAUACUUGUGCUCCGUGUGAGCACCAUAUGGUGUUGACUACAAUGAAGAUGUGGGUGACGGCGUCAAUCCAUUCCAAUCGACAGGCACCAUGUCUAGGCACACUUUUCAUCACCAUGUUUAAGUUUCGAACUAGUGGUAAAAAAUGAUUUUCACCAUACGUUUUAAUAAAACCGAUGGUGAAAAUACUAUUAGUAAAAACCUUCUGUAGCUAGUGCACAACUAUUGGUAAUAAAACAUUAUGUAGUGCACUCAAUGAAAAGGCUAUCAAGGACCACUACUGUGAGUUGGUGUCUUACUAUUAUUCGGCCUUGUUUAGCUCCUGGGGUGUAAUGUUUUGGGAUGUUACAUCGGAUGUCACAUAAGGUGUCACAUGGAGUCUUCGAUUACCAAUAAAAAACAAAUUACAUAUUCCAUUAGUAAACUACGAGAUAAUUUUAUUAAGUCUAAUUAAUCCAUUAUUAGCAUAUAUUUACUGUAACACUAUAUUGUCAAAUCAUAGACUAAUUAGGUUUAAAAAAAUUAUCUUACAAAAUAGUCAUAAUUUGUGCAGUUAGUUAUUUUUUAGUCUACAUUUAAUACUUUAUGCUCAUGCAUGUGUCAAAACAUCCGACUUGAUAUAGGGCGUAAAGUUUUCCAGCCUUGAGCUUUGAAUCAUUAAUCAAUGAUAAUGCCAUCAUCACAUUGUUUGCAUAGUACUACGUGAAGUACUUUACUAGGUCAUUAACCUUCUAUAGCUAGUAAGCUCUCAUGUCGUCCUUGGCCUGUGAACUUGAAGGCAUCUGAGACGCAGCAAUGAAUUGAAGCAUGCAGUUCUCUGAUCCACAACACUUAACUGCGGCACCGUCGUCCCUGCGCGCGUACUCGCAUUGGUUUUUACUGCGUCCGGGAUGCAUGGAUGAUGUGGGUGCAUCUUUUGACCGCGCGUCCCUCCACUUCUUUAUUGUUGCCGCAGCGCUCAGUUCAUCGAUAGAUCAUCUCAGAGAGCAGGGCGUGCUCAGGAGGUGCUCGCGUUCGUGAGUACGUGAGGUCUCCAUUGCGAAAUCAUUGUCGUGGAAUCCCAUAUCCCCCGGCACCAGUACUGACAGCGGAUGCCUUGCGCUUGCUGCCUCGCAGGCAGGCAGCUCGUCUCCGGCCGGUCAGCUCGAUCGCCGCGUGCUGUACAUACACUGUUCAUAUCCUUGAAAAUCAAGGGGUUUUGUCUCAUUGAUUAACAGUGUUGUUAUCACUGAGGCCCCCCAAAUUUUGUCUUGGCACGAAUUCGACCCACGUUUGAGAUGGCCCCGGCCGUAUGUUUGUGUGUUUCUGAAAAUUUGUAAAUAUUUGGCAUGGCAUGUCAGCCUGUCGCAGCACCAAUUCUAGUUGUACACUACAGUAAUAACCUGCAGAGUCUCUCUGGUAUUGACAGGAUCUGGUUUUUUCUUUUACUACCUGGUAGACAUAACUACUCUGAGUCAACCCAACAAUGUGGAAGCCUUUUGUCAGAUCACACUGGCAAGAGAAUACAGUAGGAUUUUAAUUUUGUUUCUGGAUGAAUACUAUAUUUCAGGUUAAUGUAAUGUUUUUAUUUAGUAUAUAUUAUAAAUGUUAGAUUUUUUUAUAAAUUUGAUCAAAAUUAAAAAUUACUAUUCUCCUUUUUUUUGGACGGGGAGUACCUGAGUGAAGGAUCAGAGCCUGCCCCCGUUUCAUCAGCAAGAGAUCGUCCAAAGUAGCUGCAGCCUGCAGCAGCCAUAGAUACGUACCGAGAUGCUCACUCUGCUAUGAAACCAAAGCUGCGAAGGAUUUCUGCUGAUUCAAAGCUGUACUUGCUGGUGACUGCUGAGACGUCAUUUCACACCUUGCACCUCAAUUAAUUUUCUUGUUUGUUUAGAUGCUUUUGGAAUGACAAAAUUUUUAGCUUUAAUCUUUUGCUGCAAAACUUUUGCUCAUUCAAACUUUACAUCUUAGUGUUUAGAUAUAUGGCAAACUUUAGCCAUGCAAAUACAACACAUGCCCCUAAUUAUGUUUUUGGCCAGUUUUGGGCCUCUUGAGUUCUAAAUACCAAAAGUUUAGCAGCUCAAGUUUUGCUCUUUUUGCUGAUGCUGUUUAGAUCCAUUUUGUCAAAAGAUAAGGUAAAACUGCAAAAGUUUUAGGUGAAGUUAAUGUGCUAGCUUUUUAAUAAAUUUUCUGAAAUAGUAUAUAAAAAAGGAUCCGAGUUAAGGCCUUAUUGCUAGCUUUUUCUGCGAGGCACAUCAAAUGAAGUGGUGAAGUUUUUAAUGUGCUAGCUGCUGCUGGAUUCCUGUAACUUCAUUGCAGGGUAAAGGGGGCAUUGAAGGUGUUAGCUAGGCUGAAAUGCAAAGACAUGUAGGGCAUCGCCGUUCAAUUAAAGCAUGUAUUUACCUAAAGUGGCACAUCUUCUAUUAGAAUCCAUUUAUUCGGAGAACCAGUGCCUCAGUUGAUGCACAUUUAUUUGGAUAGAUGGAGGAAUCCUUUAAGCCUCUGUUGUUAGCUAGCUAGUACAUAGGAGGUCAGGAAUCCUCUCUAUUCAUGAAGGGUGUUCAAGGUGUUAAGAUUGGCAAUCUUCCUUUGAUAACUAAAGGAGCACUCUUGUCUUUUACUGCUAGCAUAUUUAAAAAAGGAAUUAAGCAUAUAAGUUUUUAUUGAUAAUACCAAAACGUGGACCCAUAAAAUACUUUAGGAUUUGUGUUAUCAUUACCAUAACCAUCACUACAAGAAAUAAGGCUUUACAUGACGGUUUGAUUCUGUCAUAGAUAAGUAAAAAUCCGUCAUAGUUAACUAUCUAUGACGGUCCAUAGGAACGUCAUCUAUUCCUCGUCAUACAUUUUUUGGACGAAAAUAGAACGUCACAGGUUGGUUUUUUGGAUCGUCAUGGACGAACCAUAGGGCAACUAUAGGAAGAGACUAUGGUGAUGAACUAGACCGUCAUAGUUUUACUGCCAUGUCAACACACAUAAACAGUUCAUGGUUUUACUGUCAUGUCAACACACAUAAACUGGAACAAAGCUCAUAAUUGACAAAUAUUGCCCAUCAUUUUUAUUGAAACUAUCAACAUUUGUACUUGUACAAUAUUUCACACGAAAUACUAAGUCAAUAACCAAGCUACACUCAAGUAUCUACAAAACUAAGAUGUUGACUUGUACAACACAUAACUCGUAUGAUUUGCUCGCACAACAAAAUCUUUCAUGACUAAUGAAAAUAGCCACCAUGAGCACCUUGAUCCUCUUUCCGCAAUUCACAUAUAGCGUCACAAACAUCUGCAAUGAAUACUUGAUCAGUAAUAAAACUCACAUGUGCAAAGGUACUAUCUUUGAAAAAUGCAAGGGUCUUUUGGCCAAGUUAAAACUUCUAUAUCACAGCUAUUUAUUUAAAGAUUGUCAACUUAAUAUGAAGAAGACAGGAGCAUAGACUUGCAUCAGAAAACAUAGCUAAACUUGCAAUAGACCAGCUCUAUACUUAGUCUAUCCUAGGUCUAUUGUGCUUGAAAUAAUUCCGACAUACAGAACAAGCAUAGAAUUCUGAAACCACAAGCAAAAUGGCAGCAACAACCAAUAAGAUUAGCAGUGUACAAAAUGCAAAUUGGACAGUGGUACAAAUCUUUGUAUGCACAAUCUAAUUCUAAAUCUAUGUAACAUGCAUAUACCUUUGUUUAUUUGUCAAUCUUUAGUCCUUCAGCAAGAUGGUGUUCUCAACAAGCCUUCAGGUAGCAUUUUGACCAAGGGUCUUUGAAAGCAUUCAGGUAGCACUUCGACCAAAAAUAUUUGAAGUUUCCACUUAUACAACAUGGUGGAUGUAGGUCUUUAUUGCUGAAAAAUAGUUAAUGGAUCAGUGGGUUCAUAUUGGAAAAAUGGUAAGAUAUUUGGAAAUGGAAAGGACAGAACAAAAUAUGACAGCUUCGUCAAGAUAUUUUUAGGAGUCUAAAAGGAGAGAUAACAUAUAAACAGAACACAAUAGUCAAUUAUCAGGAAACCAUUAGAGCAAAAUUAAUAUUUCUUUCUAUCAGCUCAACCCUACAGAUAUAACUACCACCUUGUUUGUCAAUCCUAACUAAACAAACACCUUGGCAGUAUCACUCACGCCUCAAAUUAGAAUUAUACCACAUAUUGCUACCCAAAUCCAGAGAAGUUAAAUAAGUCAACAGGGAGUAGAGGCUCACAAGGGAUUUGAUAUCUUCACCAAAAUCGCUGUCAAAUUUGAUGCCAGUAUCCUGCGUACAAGGUAGGAGCAAAUCACAAAAUUGCAGAAAUCAUAAUUAGAAAAUCCUAAGCACCCAUUUACUAGCAGCAACAAAACAGUGCUGCUGAGAGUGGUGCUGUCGAGAGUAGCAGCAACAAAACUUAUCAUCUGCAAAUAAGCUUCCUGCUUACUAGCAGCAACAAAACAAUUACUUGUGCUCCACUCAUCUGCAAAUAAGCUUCCUGCUUACUCUUGAAUUCUCAUUAAACUUCAAUAGCGAAGCACAAGUAAUACUUCAGCAAAGCACACAUGACAUAUCUAUUUAAGGACAGCAGUAAUAAUAAAUAAACUGAAGCUAGAGAUCAUAUGCAUACCCGAGCGACCGAGCCGGUGGCUAGGCAAGGAUAGAAGUACUCUGUUGCCAUUAUUGCUGCAUCAAAGAAGUACGUUUUGAUUAGCGAAUAAAAGGAUAAAGUGAAACUAAGAUACUGUUCUACAGAAUUCUAAAUUUAGUUUUAAUACAAAAUUCAAUAUUUAGUUUUAAUAAUGUAAAUAAAUUGGAAAGUAAUAACUAAUGUCUGAAAACAACAUUUAUUUACUGAGCAUGAAGAUUAUCUUUCCUGCCAGGACCCAUUACUAAUCUCACACCUACGAGUACCUUAAGCUGACAAUGACUAUUUUAAUUAAAGGAGAACGCAGAACAGUAAACAUUUGUGAUUCCCAGAAACAAAUAUCACCCAAAAUAGAAGCUGCAUGAGAUAUUUUACCCAAAAUAGAAGAUGCAUGAGAGGCACUUUACCUUAAAUCGGGUUUCCCUGUGACCUUUUGGAAUUCAGCAGCACCUAUAACAAAUUAACACUAUAACAAAUUAACAGUUCAAGUUAAAGAACCCCACAGAAGGCACUACUAGUAGUAGCAGCAGAAAUUGACGAGGAUCUUGUGGCAAUUUAGUUCAGGGCAUCAAUCCCAAGCUUUUCAAGCACAUCCACAAUUCCACAUCCCCGGCCGCCAAAAUUAGAUUGCCCAAAUUAGAAAAGGAGGGACAGGUCCAUCUCAUGGGGCACAUGCGACCACAUCCCCCUCCGCCAAAAAUAGAUCGCCCAAAAUAGAAGGUGUAGGAGAGACAUUCACCUUCAACAUGCUCUCCUCGCCAUGCCCCCUUCGGUGGUUUCCUUCCCCCCUUCUUCGGCGACAUCGGUGGUGGCGGUGACGCUCGACCGCUCGUCCUCUUCUUCGAUGACGUCGGUGGUGGCUGCGGGAUGGUGGCGGUCACGCUCGACGCGCUUGUAGGCUGCUGGGCGACGGAGCAGGAUGGCAAAGUGGUGGUGGAGGAAUCAGUGGAUUGAGGGGCGAUCGAGGUUGGCGGCGUUGGUUGUGCGAAUUGGAGGAUUGGGGGGAUUUGGUGGCACUGUUGCCCGCGAGACGGUGGAGCUACAUUAUAUAUGGCACUGUGAUAUUACCAAAAUAUACCCAUUGUUUCAUUUGCGGGAUGCAUGGAGUGGGGGCAUAAUGGUAAAUUCGUAGCUAAAAAUUGGAGGUGGGAAGACCGCUCGCCGCAAAAUUUUCAGGGUGCGCAGUGUAUUCAGAAUGCCCGCCAAAGGCCAAAAUUUUUCCAGCGCACGCACUUCUGUUCAGGGUGCCUCUUUUUUCUUCUAUUAUUUUUUUCUUAGCUAUUGAAGUAAUAAAAUAGUGACAGAUAAAACCAAAUUUUGAAUACCCUGGACCACUUGUUUAGGUGAUAACCAAAAUUUGGAUUAUGAUGUACUUAAUUAUUUAGGGAAUAACCAAAAAGUUUAGAGUUUAGCUAUAGCUAUCAAAUUAUUUAGGACCGGUAAUCUAAAUAAAUCGCUAAUGUCCCCUCUUACGACACACUGAUAGCACUUAAUAGUGUGUUGAAUGUUGGAUGUGUGACCUUCCAAUGAGUCUGUUAUGGAUGACCAAAAUGAUCUGUGACGUCCAGUUGUGACAAUAAUUUAACAAAUCGUCAUAUAUUCAUCACCUUAGAUUUAAACCGUCAUAGAUGAAUAAAUUCUAUGAUGAUUUGUUAGAAGGUCACGAUAAAAUCGUCACGUAUACCUAAAUUUCUUGUAGUGCAUAGACAACCUAAUAAUAUAUUUAGGAAUAAGAGUAGUUCUUGUAAGAUUCAAUAACAAGACCUCAACCUUGACGCGAUCAUUUCAUGCCAUUCCACUACAACCAUUAGUUAUAGUAUAGUAUGAGAAUUAUUCAUUUUCGAUCCAUCAAUGGAGGCUAUUUUUAGUGUCAUUUUUCUUAAACAUAUCCCAUGUAGAAAUCAUUUUCAUAUAUUGUUAACUUAAACAACCGAUUUCACAAAAGUUAUGUUUUAAAAAUUAAAAUGGAUCUAAGAACUUUUAACAAGUAUUUAGGCUUCUAAAUGGUUUCAAAUGAAAAAAGUUCAACUACAAUGUAAAUCUCGUUGAGCCCUCUACAAUUUGAUAUAAUAUUGUCUUCAUCUAACUUAAUAUGAAAAAGUUAUAAAAAAUUUAUAUACAUAUCAUUUUGAAUCAGAUUUCUAUUGCUAGUUUUGUUAAGCAACCACCAUUAGAAAUUGAUUCCUAGUAAACCUCUCCUCUACAAAUAGGCUAUUUGUACUAGCGUUAACAUAAGUUACCGCCAAUGAAAAUAUCUAUUUCUACUGGAUGUAGCUUAAGUCGGCCGCUAGAAGAAAUAGGAGCAUUUCUAUUGGGAGUCAAAAAAAAAAGAUCCCUGCUAUAAAUGAUUUUCUACUAGCUGUUCUUGGUCAUACAUACUGUACUGGCAUCUACUUUUGUAUUUUGUACGUACUAGUGCACCAAACUUUACUAGGUUAUUUUUUUAAAAAAAAUGCGCUAUAUAUUAAAUGCUCAAUUCAAUCAUAAAGCUUAUGUGGUUGCCCAUACCUUUUCUUUUUGUUGCUUUCAUGUGGCCGAGAUUCAUUUCCUUUGAUUCAAUACCGCUAAGGUAGUACAAAUGUUACCACUCAAGCUAAGGUGUUAUUCGUCAACCGUUAUUUGAUCUUAACAAGAACAAUUACAUGACGUUUUUACCAAGAAUAUAAGUGAAGAAUAUAUAUAAGAGGCUUAGAGAAUGUAAAAAAUGUCAUAUGACAAUGCUUUUACCAAGGUAUUGGAAGCCCAUGGUGGAGCAGCCGACCCUCCCUCUUCCUCUACAUCGGUGAUCGCAGAAGGAGAAGGCUACGUGAUCGCAGAAGGAGAAGGCUAGGACCGUCAUGCCUUCGCCUUGGCCAUGCCGGCAGUCUCCACCGUUGUGCUGGGUCACGCUGCUGAACUCGAUCAGCGCCAUGCAUCAUGGGCGCCGCACGCUCCACCUCAACAACGAGCUUCUCUGAGCCCCAUCUCCGCCAUCGCGCAGGGUCAUGCUGCCAACUCGGUCGUACGUGCUGUCCUCUCCACCUCCGCUGCGGUGCUGUGUGUGUUUUUUUAGCGGAUGAGUGAGCGAAAGGGGAGAGGAGAUGAAGGGAUAAGUCUGCACUCUUCGGGCUAUGAUGGAGAGUAGCUAUGGGACCCACCCUAAAGUGACACUUUCACUAGGAUAACUUUUGAGUACUAGAACGAUACUUUCAUUACAUAACAAUAUUAACCUCCCUUUCUUCACCUCCCUAUAUAACAAGGCUGGAAUCCAUUGAAGCCCCACAACUAAACUAAAAUAAAAUAAACGGUGGGUACAGUGUGAAGGGAAGAGAUGGAAUGGUAACAACAUUGACCUCCCCUCCACCUCCCUAUAUAAGAGGGUCUUGAAAUCCAUUGAAUUAAGCCAUACAACCUAAAUAAAAUAAAAUAAAUGGGAUGAAGCCCCGCAACCAAAACAAAACAAAACAAAACAAUAAAAUACAACAAAAUAAAUAGGGCGAUGUGAAAGGGAGAUGGAAUGAGGUGCUGUGAAGGGAGAGAUGAAGCAAAUUUGUUUGUAGUAUUGUAUUUAUAUACAAAGUACUCCCUCCGUCCCUGAAAGUUUCAAUUUCUAGAAUCUGUGCCAGUCAAACUUGUUUAACUUUGACCAACUUUAUAUAGAAAAGAGCAUCAAUAUGUAUAACAUAAAAUGAGUAUCUUAUGAAAAUAUAUUCAAUGAUAAAUCUAAUUAUAUUAAUUUGGUACUAUAAAUCUUAGUGUUUUUUUCUAUAAAUUUGGUUAAAGUUUUAAAAAAUUGACUUAAUACAACUCUAGAAAUUGCAGCUUUCAGGGUGAUAUGAAGGAGAGAGAUGUAGCAACUUUGUUUGUAUUGUAUUUAUAUAUACAAAGUAAAUAAAACAUUGACCUCCCAUCCACCACCUCCCUAUGACCCUAUAUACAGCAUUGACCUCACCUCCAAACCUUCCUAUAUAACAGGGCCCUCGUAUCCUAGAAGCCCCACAACCAGGAGUUGCAAGGCACAUCUCCUUCCUCUUCGACCCUUCUCCAUAUUCAGGUAAAUAACAUUUGCCGUAACAUCUCGAUCAUUUUUGUGUUCUUGAUUACUCCUUAUUGGAAGCCUUCUCGUUUAACAAACAUCUUAUCAGCCGUUCAAAUCUUUGGACCCUUGUAAAUCUUGUUCGCCAGGCCGUGCAGUGCAGGCAAGCCGCCAUAUAUGAGCAACGGCAACCGGAGCAGCGGCGGGAGGGGCGCGAGGUUGGAGCUGCAGCUGCACCUGUCGCCGCCUCCGGCCGGAAGGAUGGAGGUGGACGGAGGCCACGGCAGCGACUCGUCGUCGUCCCCGAGCUCGUGCGUGUCGUCGGACGGCAGCCCAGGGAGCAAGUCGCCGAUGGUGAUCGGCGCCUGCACGCGGUGCAUGAUGUACUGCAUGGUGGCCAAGAGGGACUUCCCCACCUGCAUCAACUGCAAGCAGCCCUGCCUCGUGGACCUCCUCCACAGCGCCGGUGCCGGCGCUGGCGGCAGCGGCGGCGCCGCGGGCGACGGCGGCGACAAGAGGCGCGGCAACGGCAAGUGAAGGACGGUCAGUCAGUCAGUCAGCGUGCCCGUCCGUACAGUGGAUGCUCAUACGGAUGGUUAGCUCAGGUCGUUUGUGCUUUGGUGGCUUGAUGCUGAUCUCGAGGCGCGGUUGGGGGAGUGACCGCCGUUGGAUCAUCCACUGGACGGACAUGGCCUAUUUGGUUUAGUACUAGGCUAGCAAUCCUAGCAUAGUACUCCUAGCUGCUGAUGUUAUUACUAGCUACCUUUAUUUAUGAUGUUGUUGGUUGUUUAACCGUGUGGUAUGGGUACGUAUGUGAUCACCGGCGGUUCAUCAGUGGUUAUUAUUGUUGUGGGCAAUGGUUUUUAGGUGUAACAAAUGCUCUGUUUAAAUGAAGAAUGCGAUCUUUCGAGGGCUGUUUCUAGAAACGACAAUGCACAUUAACCAGUUCGUGCUGCACAUGCACAAAAUGAGUUUUAGCGUGUGCUUGCAACGUGACUAUUUCAACAGUGGUUUAAUUUUAGGCUCUAGUACUAGUACAUCUAUUUGCUGAUGCUGACCAGUCAAAAAGAUGUACUCCUAUUUGCUAACUUUGACGGGUCAAAACGAUAAGCAUACCAUUCAAUGAUCACUUACAAGUUCCCUUCUAAAAGAUAUGUGGUUGCUUUUUUAAGGCCAAUCUCAGUGUGGAGUUUCAUAGCGUUGUUUCUAAAACGGCCAUGUCAUAUGAAAUGAAAUAAAACUUGAAUGAAACACUCAUUCUCAAUGGAGAGUUUCAUUUCAUAGUUUCAUAGGCAUUUAAUUCCAAGACUCAUAAAGAGUUGGUAAUCGUGCCAAGAGAGUUUCAUCUUGUCUCUCCUCUUAAAUACACCGUUAUGUCAUCAAAAAUGCCUAUGUGACAACUAAUUUAAUGCAAAUAAAACUCAUAUGAAACUCUCAUUGAGGCUGGCCUAACAAGUUUCAUCCUCAUUGAAGAGGAAUAAGACCAUCUACGUAUCAAAACAAAUGAAACUUUAAGGACAAGCAAUUCAAAAUGACCAAGGCCUCCAUAGGAUGCCAAGAGUUACACUGCUGCAUUCUCGGGAGUCCAAAAAACCUCUACCAUGAGGGCUUGUUGAAUAUCACACCGUUACAGUUGGGCCCAUAGCCGAAUUCAGGAGGUCCCAGAACCUGCAAAAGAGAUUUAGGUUGACAAUUGUCAAAAACAAUUCUAUUCAUUGUUAUCCAUAUUAUGACUACAAAAUGGUUGUCGCACCAAAAAGUAAAAGGGAUCAAACAGUUUUAUCUUUCCAAGAAUACCAUUCACUAAAUAAGUGUGGGGGCAUUUCAAGGUGGAUUAAUUCCUAACACCAUGUGGACUACUCUCCAUAAAAAUGGCAUGUGACCAUUUAAAGAAAGGUGUUGAAUGGUUUCUAUUGGGGGCUCAACCUUGCCUUCCCCUAAUUGGUCGCUCCGGAGGAUUGUCUUCAUCAUAAACCUCCAUCCUGCGACCCUUCGGAUGUUAUGGCUCGAAGGUUCUGGGUAAAACUAACGGUAACGCGUCUUGUGUGGUGCUGGGUGGAUGCAGGAACCAAGCCGGUGGUGGAGGCCGCGAGGAAUGAAGGAGAGAACCUUCAGAUGUCUCCCGCGUCACGCGUCAGAGGAUGGGCGAGAGCAUGUCUGAGGACGCAGGGACGACGAGGAACCUCUGGCGUCCUCGCGCCGAGGGACCUUCGGUGUCUCCGGGCCGAAGGAUCAGCGCCUGUCCGGAGGUUCGUGUCCCGACAGGAUGGAAUUCCGAGCAUGGAGUGCGUGUGGGGGUCAUAGUGUGAAAUUACUUAAAUGACUUGUGGUCAGUAGACUGUAACGAAAGGAUAUGCCGGGAUAUUCCCUCACCGUCACGGGGCAUUUUUAUAAUAGUGUCAGGUCGGUUUCCGUGCCCUAUAUAAGGGAGUGUAACUACUCUUAAAAGGGAGAGAGAUCAUUUACUAUUCCCACCUACUGUUGAGCUUGUUGUCCCCAAUCACUCAGCGCGUGAGCAGACACCUCGGGCAUCGUACAGCUAAGGAGUGCAGGUGCGCAUUUCCCAACAGUUCCAGGUUUGCCACAAAAACAGCAUGGCUUGUGAAAAUUCCAGUUUCUCUUUGCUAAAUUGUCCAAAGUGAGAAUGACUGCCACUCUUUUAAAAACCGAAAGAAAGAUUUUAAUCUUCAAAGGGAUCGUUAGCCACCAAAUUAUUUGUGAAAGUUUUAAAUUAUUUCUGAUUAAGUAACUAUACAUUGAGUUAACUAUGAACGGCCCCAUUUAAUUUAAUCUCCAAACAGAAGUAUCAUUACCAUGUGUUAUAUUAGCCACUCUCGCUACUAGGUGAUUCCAUUCUAGUAGCUUGUUUCCUAUUAAAGUCCUUCUAAACUCAAAUUGAGUUGAAUCGUGCUUAAUACAUCUACAACCUUUGCUUGUUUCUUGUGAGCAAUAUUGAACAAUGUCGGGUAUUAGGUUUUCAGGAGUUGGUAUCCUAAAUAGGUAUCUUUCUAGUACCUGAAGGCAACCAAACUCAAGAAUGUUUCUUUUACACCCAUGAGGCUCAUAAAAAUAAGUCUCUUGCUCUUUUCUCAACUUGUGACAAGGUCUUAUCUUUAAUAUAUUUGUUUCUCUAUAAAACUAGACAAAUUCCUUAUUUAUUAGUUAAUUUAAAAUUAAAAAUCCACUUUGUCAAUAAUCACUUAUUUUGUAAAUCAAGAUUCAUAAUGCCUAAACCCCUUGUUCUUUGGGUUGACAUAAUAGGGCCCAGUGAACUAGUCUUUGGGUGAUUGUUAUUUUGUCAAAAUAAUAUCUUGAUCUAUAAUAAUCUAUUUCUCUUCAAAACAGCUCUAGUGACAGUAAAUAAUUAAAGAGAGCAUAGGCAUCAGAAGGCUCAACAUUAUUGAAUUAAUCAGCACCAGUCAACUACAGACAAAUGCUUGUCUUUUCCAACUGCUAAGUCUUUUUUCCAUUCAUAGACAUGCUUAGGGACGCUACCAGCGUAUAGGUGACCUCAUCGUCAUGCCACGUCGCCCACCUCGCAUCACCACCAUCGUAACUUGCAUCACAUCACACCCACACCCACCAGAUGUCCUCAACCACCUCGAUAGCUAUGUCCUUGUCACUUCGCCAUGCAUUCUGCCAUCAUCAUGUGUUAGCUACCAUCAAUAACCAUCUCUCUAGACCUCAUCUUAGUUUCUUUUGCAAUUCUAGAACUAGAUUGAACCCUAACUAACCUUCCUACUACUUAUUAUUGACUCAGACUGAUGAUCCAUCAUGAUAUAUUUAUUUUCCCCAGAAUUAUCAUGAUGAUUAGUAAAAAUAGGUCAUAGGUGUUGCAAAAUGCUCAAUGAGUCAUAAAAUCUAACAUGGACAAACAAUAAUGGGAAUGAGCAUGCCACAUGGUGCAAACUAAAAUCUUUUUUGUCCCUCUCUUUUACUCCCUCUGUAGCUGAAAGCUUGAACCCUUAGAAUCCAUAUCAGUCAAUCUUUUUUUAAGUUUGACCAACUUUAUAGAAAAGAGCAUCAAUAACUAUGACAUAAAAUGAGUAUAUUAUGAAAACAUAUUCUAUGAUAAAACUAAUGGUAUUAAUUUGGUACUAUAAAUCUUAGCAUUUUUUUAGAAAUUCGGUUAAAGAUUUAAAAGUUUGACUUAUGAUAACUCUAGAAGUUGAAGCUUUCGGUGAUAGCGGCAGUAUAUCCUAUGCAUAAUCCAUUUAGGUUAAUUAGUUUUCAUUUGGCUAGUGACAUCAUCAAUUGAAGCAUAACCAUUAGAGGGCCAAGGAGCUAUUAUAUGUUGAGGUAUAAAUAAUGACCUUUAUUUACGUUCAUUCUUGGAAAUGAUAUAUUGAUUGCAUGGAGGCAACAUAUAUAUAGGUAAAUAGGUUAAUCUUGUCUAACUAAUUUUAGAGAGAAUCAAUUUCUUGAUUUUGAUCACGAGUCUCUUAUUUGAAGACACAUGUGUUUUCCUGUUUGGUCAAAGAGUGGGGGUUUCUCUACACAUGCAAAUUAAGUGCAUCAGCCUUGUUAUCAGUUUUGGUGAGUUUCACAUCAAAGUGCUAAUGCCUAUAUUGAGUUAUGGAUAGGUUUCAUACCAUGAAGUGAAACAAUUAUGAUUGGCGACCCCUGAAGUUUAAUUCAGUUUGGAAUUAUAGCAUUUGGAUAAAGAACUCCAGUUUAAGUUAUUUCUAUUUCUAAAACUAAGUAUGGAAUGUUAUAAUGUAAAGGGGAUUGAAGUUUGCUAUAUUGCAGGUUGCCAUGAUAAAUGAACCUUGUGAGACACAACCUCAACCCUUAGGCUAUUAUCUAUUUUUGUUUUAUAAUAAGGUUCAAUGACAGGUGCGUUGACUAGAUGCCUAGUCCAAAGUUUGGUUAGUUCGCUCAGAUUUGUUGGACAUAUGGUCUGUCCCUUUAGGUUGUUCUGAGGAUGCUAGAGUGUGCUAACCUUCUACAACAUGAUGUUUGAUACUUAAUGUACCAGCUAGUUUUUGGUUGUGAGGGUAUAUAUACUCUCUUCACCAACGUACAAACAAAAUUGACUUGAGCUCAUUUAACCCUCCACUCCUCUCUUGUGAUACCUUUUUUUGAGACUUUAGUUGGUAUUGAGCGGAGAAGAUUGGGUUCAGUGAUUCAAGUGGUGAACUUAAUCGCCAAUUGAAAGAGCAUUUGUAUAUUUGUUCAAGUUUGAAUUUGAGUUGUCCCUGACCACCGCGAUCAUGGCCAUGGGCAUCUGGGGAGGGCCACGCCCCUUGCCUCGAUGAUCCUGCGUACCAUGGCUGGCGAUGGCGCGUCCUCUUGAGUAGUCACGGUUUCCGGCCAUUAGGGCGUCCCGAUAAGAGAGUACUGGGGCGGUGGUGUGGAAUACCUGAGCGGCGGCGGCGUGGAAGGCGGAGAUGUCUAUCAGCUGACUCUUAGGUCCACCGAGAGCCGGUGUUGCGAUAGGGCAGAUCGUGACGUCCCGGAUCGUGGUGUUGUGUUUCCUUCCGCUUGGCGUUCGUGGUCCGGUCCGGUCGGUUCGGGGGUUUCGGGUCCGGUGCAGACACCCCUAUUCGCGGUCUUGUAGUUUGAAAUCCCUUUGAUUUAGGAUCUCGGGCGCCGUCGCAGACGGUACGCUAAUCCGGUCCAGAGGUGCGACGAACACCAUCUCCCGGCGGUCCUCGCUGAGAUGAUGGGAGGAUGAAAUCACCCAGCUUUGCCGCCGGCGUGACUCGUCGCGGUGGGAGAGGACCCCUCCAAAGCCCCUUCCACGGCGCCCGGACUACCUUUGGAGAUGGCGAUGUCGUAGCUGGCAGCGGUGGAUGACGGGGCCGCGUGUUCGUGAUCCUCUCAUGAUGGAUCGGAGAGGUUGACGCUGGCUGUUGGAUCGUCGGGGUGAUGGCGACGCAGCACGCAAGAGUUUCCGCCGUGCCCAGGUCCUCGCACUCCGAAACAGAUUCGGGAUCCUAGAAUUUGCCCGAGACGACAUGAUCGGGAGGUGUUGGUUCCUUCGCCGUGAUGUGCCGUAGUGCCCUCCGUAUCGACGGCGCAAUCGACACGGGAGUAUGGCAGGCGGACCUGUCUAUGACAUGUGAACCUAGUGACAGUAAAGGGAUUGGAAAUUUUCUCCAUGGCAUAAGGGGGAAUUAACUCAAAUAAUUAAGAUCCUCUUGCAUUCACAUGUUAGGCCUUGUUUAGUUCCGAAAAGAUUUCGGAUUUCGGUACUGUAGCACUUUCGUUUGUUUGUGACAAAUAUUAUCCAAUCAUGGACUAACUAGGAUUAAAAGAUUCGUCUCGCGAUUUACAGCUAAACUGUGUAAUUAAUUUUUUUUUUGUCUAUAUUUAAUGUUUUAUGCAUGUGCCGCAAGAUUCGAUGUGACGGAGAAUCUUGAAAAUUUUUUGGUUUUUGGGAUGAACUAAACAAGGCCUUAUAAUGGACGGCAAACGGAUUCGUUGUGUUUUAAAUGAAAAAAACAAUCUGUGGGUCGAGAUCAGAACUUGUGUCGCAUUAUCCUGAGGUAUUCUGAAGUGACCUCGAGCUAUUUAUCUUAGGAAAACCAACUGGCAUCGGCAGUAUUCCCAACCCGACCGCAGCUGGACCGGUGAUUUGCUUUCCUGGGCCUGGGCUGCUUCCUCCUCAAUUACUGUCGAUGGGCCUGAGGGCCCACGCUCCUCGUAUCUUCUUCCUCCUUCCGUCCUUACCGUCCUUGGCAAGGGUGGGGGAAUGGCGGCGCCGCACCACUCUCUCACUCUACUCCACUGCCGCCGCAGCUUCCGCCGCUCGCUCAGCUCGCCCCCCACAUCCGGGCCACCUUCAGCCACCUCUGCCAGGCAAGGCCCCCUCUCAGGCCAACAACACCUUGAUCUCAUUCUUUUCUCCAUCGAUUUGUCCUGCCUUUUGUUUUCUUUAGUUUCAGCUCUCUGAUUGCAACUUGCAAGUAGCCAUCCUGUCCAUUUACGUUACCAACUUCGUAUCUAGACUAGAGAGGCAGCGAAUGCUGCUUGAGUUGUGAUAUGCUUGUUGAUUGGAUUGGUUGGAGUUCUGUAUCAUCUGAAGGAGGGGCAGAUCAUCUAGAACCUUCUUCCAACAUUGAUGAACUUCUUGGUUCACACAUAUGUAGUGUAAUUGAAGGGUCACAUGAAAAACAUCAGAAUCCUGAUGUGUUUGUCUUUAGUAAACUGUCAGAAUAUUUAGUGAUCAAGAACAAAUCCCAUCUCAAACUCAAGAUGAGAACAUUACAUAUUAACAGGACUGAAGUUAUAACAGAUUAUGGUCAGUCUAUCAAUUAUCAGAAUGUUAUACUUGAGAAGGACCAAAACAGUGAGCUUUUUGUAAUUUCUGAAUACUUUUAUGCAGGCUGGUACAGGUUGUUUUGCUGACGAGAAAAGCAUUGCCAAGCAUGUUCAGCCUGAUCGGUACCACGUUGCUGCAGCUAUGCAGCCAUAAGCCUUUGCUACAGUAUUUCUUACUGUACACUCUGCCUACGGCAGCGAUCACAGCCAAGUGGAGCCGUUGAAUUCGUGCAGGAUGCAUAUAACAGAAUCAUGCAGGCCGAAUCAUGAAUCUCACUGUGGGUGACAAUAUAUUUUUUUUCAAUCUCUGGUACUAGUGUCAAGUUAGCAUGCUCUGCUCUUUCCCGUAGUAUAUACCUUUCUGGUACUAGUCUUGAGGAUCAGUGGACAAGUCAAUCUUGUGAAAUCCUAAUUAAUGCUAAGUUUGUCUGAAAUAUCACAUCGACUGCACCUCUGGUCAGAGAUAAAAGGCCCUACUAGCUAGGACUGAUGUUUGGCCUGAGGACAAGGGUUUAGAUCACUGUAAUGUCAUGCAAGUUGAUACUGGCUUACGGACGUACUUCAGAUUCAGAACAGGUAGAAUGUCACCCAGGUGGCGCAGAUGACAAGGCACCAUGGAAUCUUUCAUUUUGCUCAAUUCAUAAAUUAUGCAGGGAUGUUAUAAUUUGGUAGAUAAUUAUGGAGGGAAAAAUAGAGCAAUAUGGAUGGAAAUAUAGAUCAGGCUGGAAAAUGAAACAAAAUCUGUUCAUCUGCUAACACAAAAGCAACCACAUCUAUUUCAGUGGAAUCUGCAUCCCAUUGUCAGCUGAUCAGCUCAACUACUUAUACAGUAAGCACUGAUGCAAGCUGUAAAUGAGCAAAAGAUCUCAAAGGACAUAAAUGCUUCUUUGGAUAAAAGUGUUGCUAAAAUGCAUGAGCUACUACUAAUAAAUUUUCCUUAUCCAAGUGGUAUGGUUGAGAGUCCACAAUCAGAUCAGGUAACAUAUGAUGCCCUGACUACUCUGUUUUUGAAACUGCAACACUCCUAAUCUUUCUACUCAUUAAUAUUCAGAAUCGUUUCAACUAGUUCGAGUGAACACUGUCUUUUUGUGAUGCAUACCUUUUCUUUUCUGUCAAUUCUCUAAAGUAAGUUGGAUAGAAAACGAAAAAUAACUUGGUACAUAUUAUGUCUAUCUUCCAUAUAAGUCUAAAGUAUUGUUGCUUUUAUAGAAAAGCGAAGGCCUAAACUAAGGCCUGAGCAUUUCAAGAAGAAAAUACACGAAAUAACUAAGAGGAGUGAUCGAAGAUGCAUGAGGUUUUAUUUCACUCUGACAAGAAUGUGCUGAAAGUUUCCAUCCCUGAAUCAUUUUGUAACAAAGGAAGACUGAGAAAUCUCUGUUUCAAGUUCGACUGAAAUUCAGAGCCAUUCUUUGUGGUUCCUCCAUGUGUGGCCUGGGUCUUUAACUUAGAUCUCAACUUUCAGGUUUUGUAUACGAAAGCGGCCCUUUUGGCUCAUGUUUCACGUCUGGUCAAAUCAAUCUUGCGCCCAAUGGCUGAUAUGUCUGGCUGGCAGUUCCACUUGGCUCACUACCAUUGAUACACAAGCCCAUGAAAUCUGUUGGAUACCUGAAGGUGUGGCAGAGAACCCUUGUUACCGGGCAUUCACUGCUGGUGACUCCUAAAUAUGGACUGCUAAAUCCAUUCCUCUUGGCUUUACUAGGAUAUCACUUAGAUUAGCAAGAAAAACAUUCCUCUGCAAUCAAGCCAAAGAAAGCGCACGCUUUUCCUAAGCUAAGAAUGUGGUGCCUAAGAAGGAAAUAUCAUUUGUUCCUAUCUAUGACCAAGACUAUGAAUAGUCAAAAGAUUCAGAUAAGCAGACAUAAUAAAUAGAGUAAGUACCAGAUAUUAUCAUUAGUUUGACCAUCGAUUGAAUAGGUACCAUGAUUCUUGAAAUAUAUAAAGGUCAGGAAGCAUGUAGAAGUUGUGUUGGUUUUACUGUUUUGCCAAUGUGCAAAGUUAACACAGCAAUCUGGUUAUCUUUUUCCACAUACUAGCAGGGUUAUUAAUUCUGCAUUAAUUCGAUUAUCGUGUCAUUUUACAGUUUUGCCAAGUACUAUUGUGCCUUUGUCAGUUUGUCGUACAUGUAAGAAAACGUCGGCCGCCUACCUUGCAGUCUCCAUCAGUAAAGCUGAUCAUCAGUGGGAGUAGAUCCAAAUGUUCCAAUCAUUUAACCUUUACAGAAUAUGACUUGCUCGUGCGCUCUGUACCACAUAGUUUCUCUCUGGUUUUAUUUAUCUCCUGAUCGAUGGAUGUGCGUAUAUAUAUACAUGGUUCUGAACUUCUGAUUCAUCCAAGACAACAUUUGCUAGUGUUCUACUAGUACUUUAUGUAUGAUGUAAACAUGAAACUGCAUCUGCACUUUCUUUGUCAAUAUGACUUUGUUGGUUUAUUUUGUUUGAAUUCCAUUUCACAAGAUAUGUAAAUAGCAUUUAUCACGAUUGUUGGUACACCGAAUUCACAACUCCAAUAGGAUGAUAUGAUCUUAAAGACAUGAUGAGAAUGAAGAUCAGAGAUUUUCUUUUUACUGUAAACAGGAGGGGUUUCCCCCUGCUGUGUAUUUAUUUAUUAAGAAAAUGCGAACCAGCUUACAUAAAAGUUCAAGAGACAAAAAAAGGGAAAGAAAGUAAACAAAUAAGCAAAAAUUACAAGAUGGCUUCUAGCCAUUGUUGUAUGGAAGGAAAGUAUAUGUUAUAUGGAUGUAAAUAAGUACUUCUUUGCUCUGUGAAUAACCAGAGCAAACUCCAAUGCCAUAUAUAUUACACAUACAUGAUAGCCGGAGCUUGCAUUCACAUAUAUGUUCCUCACCCAACGCUAGUUGCAGUAGUUUUUUCUAGCAGGUAUAUGUAGGGGGAGAGAUCGAUCGAGAUGGAUGAUGCCAACAAUGGAUACAUCAGCAGCAUAUAUAGAAGCAAAGGAACCAACAGCAGCAAAAGGUGAAAAAAAGAAGAAGAAAGAAACCAAGGUGUGUGUGUGACCCCAAGGAUGCAAAACCGAACGAACAGGUUGAGAGGCAGCAGCAGGCAGCCAUAUGCCAUUAGCUCACGCAGGAGCUAGCUAGCAGUUUAAUCACUCGCUGCCCGCGGGCUUGUAGGCGAUGAAGCUGACGCACUGCGUCUGCUUGAUGUUGUCGAAGCCGAGGAUCCGGACGUAGGCGUCCGGGUAGGAGGCGAUGGCCUCCUGCAGCUCCUUGUAGACCUGCGACGCGUCGGUGCAGCCGAACAUGGGCAGCUUCCACAUGGUCCAGUAGCGGCCGUCGUAGUAGCACGGGGAGGUGGAGUUCUCGCGGUACACGAAGCCUUCCUUGCUGAACUCGAGGCAGGGCACCCAGUUGUUGCGCAGCAGGUAGUCCACCUGCUUCAGCAGCUGCUCCUCCGUCAGCGGCGGCAGGUACGACAGCGUCUCGAACUUCUUGUUCCCGUACGCCGGCCACACCUGCAAAUUAAUGCAUGCAUCGAUCGAUGUACGUGUUUGUGGUUGCAUUUCGCUAGCUCUGCUGCAAAGAAUGAAUGAAGAUGGCCGGCCGGAGCCAAGAACGAAAGGCCAACUAGCUCUUGUGUUAAUUAUGUUGUUAUUACCUGCAUGCACCGGAUCCUGCCGCCGUUGCUGACUUUGGCGAGGCUGGUGGUGGAGCGGCGGGCGACGGGGAGGGUGGCGGUGGACUUGAGACCCUGGAACGGAGCGACGGCGGUGGCGGACGAGGCCAUCACGGUGGGCGCCAUUGCUGCUGCUAUGUAGUACUAGUAGCUAGUGAGGGAGCGAGCUGAGAGUGAGCUGCUUGCUGUUUUUGCUGCUUCUUGCUGCUUGG